AAUUAAAAUUAUCCAUCAUAUAACAUGACAAAAUACAUCUCCGAGGUUUACAUGACACAAUAACUCAUCUCAUGAAUACAUUUCCUAACACACAUAUAGCAAGAACGGACAACAUCCUCCAAAGCCUUUUGUCCAUCGCCAAGCUGAAGCCAGCAGCGGCUCCUGCUAGCGAGCAUCUUGCCAUCAGAAGGAUCGCGAGCAUCUUGCCAUCAGAAGGAUCAACUUUCAAUGCCUGCACCCAACCAAGCAUCAUGCAUGUGUCAACAUAUAUACUGACUGAAGUUAUAAUAGCAAAUUAUUCCAAGAGAUACAAUAAAAUUGCAAACGGAUAUAGAAAAUAAAGGGCAGACACAUAAUCGCAGGUACUGAAUCAUCAAAAUAACUCAUGAAGAUAAUAUCUACUCAACAGAGGCCUAUGCAAGAAUUAAUACUUCAUGUCACUUUUUGUCAUCGGAACUUCUACAGCAUAAUCGCACGUACUGAAUCAUCAAAAUAACUCAUGAAGAUAAUAUCUACUCCACAGAGGCCUAUGCAAGAAUUAAUACUUCAUGUCAUUUUUUUUCAUUGGAACUUCUACAGCAAUUCUUCUGUAAAACAGGUUAAUUGCUGGUUUUGUGGUUUACACUUCAGACAGUAAGCUACAUCCAAGGAGAAGAUGAUGCUGAUACUAGCCAUUUAAAAGAUUAAACUCUAUAAAAGGUGUGUGUGCAUGUAGAACAUUUCCCACUUCAAACUUUUACAAAUUAACUUUUAAAAGAUGUAGACCGACCAAUUCAUUCCAGUUUAUAUGAUCAUGUACAUAAUGUUCAGCAUAGUCACAACAUCCUUACUGUAAAUUAUGUUUUAUUUCCAGAUUAUAUGAACAUGGAGUCCUUAUAAACAUGCAAACAUGAUGUUUCUUUCCAUGGUUCAAAGGACAAAAUCCUGAAGAGACAUCACACACACAAAAACACUAUUCAUCAUGUAGCUGUGGGCAUGCAAGUACUUGAGUCUAGUGCAAAAAGUAAUGAUGGAAAGGACUGACAUUCAUAACCGAGUUCAACCAUCAGGUUGGACAUAACACAUUCAUUCAACAAAUGAUCCCAAGCUGUUCAUCAACUUACUUGUGGUUGCACACCAAUGGCCGUGAACCUCGUCGGUUAUGAUGGUAUGCUGUACUGGUGGCUUACGAACAUCGAUGUGAUCUAAGUACAGUUCUUCAUCUCCAUGGUGAUCGGGCCAUAGGCUGUUCUCGUGCAGCGCUCCAUGCUGGCCCUCAAAUGGCAUACCUGAGAAAAAACAUGGUCAAAAUCUGUUUAUCAUAGUAUACGUACUGCUUAUGAAUUAUAUUGUUUCAGGUCGCACUACAUGUGAUGCUGAAGAUGAUUUGCACAUUUUACUGGACACGCUAUUUCAUCAGUAAGAAAGAGUUGUGGGUAUCAAACUUGUAGCAGUUAUUCUGGACAAAUUAAAGAAACUAGUCGACGAAGUGCACGAGCUAGUAUCAUAGAAAUAAUAUGCUUUAAUGUAUACUAGAAUACAUUCGACUUUCCAUUGAAAUAAUAUACUUUAAUGUACAAUGUUGAUUUGCGUCAAACUUUCUAAUAUAUUAUUUAAGGAGGCGUACCAACGUUGAUUUCCAUUGAAAUAAUAUGCUUUAAUUUACAUCAUAAGUUUAUUGUCAUUGAAGUUAUCUUCAUGUUUUGUGUCUAUUUCUGCACUUUCCUAGUUGUGUCAUGCUAACUGCAGUCAACACAUUAUACUACUUCUAAUAUACAUGAAACAAUCAGAACAGAAAACGUCAAUGGAGAACUGAUAUUAUAAUGGACUUAAUGUGGAAGUACACAAAUCUCUCCCACAAAAUUGGAAUGAAAAGAACGGUAUCGCGAUGAAACAUUCUGUUUCUGCUUAAUUUAAUCAUUGAGUUAAAUGGCAUCAGAUGUGGACAUAUUAUGAGUACAUAACCAAGAAAUAAAACACCACUACAAUAUGCACAAGACAAAAAAAAUCAGGCUCAAGACAUUGCAGCAAAUCAGCUUAGGGGAGCUUGCCGAUACAGUGAUAGUGCAAGGAGAUUAUGAAACAAUACUUGAGAACACAAAGUUAACAUAUCAUUAGUGAUUGAACUAACACAAAGUGCAUUUUACCGGGUGAAGCUUAUAUUCCUGAUAUAUGAUACUUAUGUUCGCUCCUUAUUUUAUUACAUGUGAAUAAAUAGACCAUGCAACCAGAAAGGAAGAGUUGAUUUACUCACCAGCCCAUGUAGUACUAGUCAGGGUUAGUAGGCGGCAGCUCUUUGAACAUUGUAGUCUUGACAAUGUCAACCCACUCGGGAAGCUCCAUCUGUAGGAACAAUAUAUAACUUCAGUACUAAGAAUGCAAGAAGGUAACCUGGACAAGUAAUAAAUACUAUGCCUUUCUUAUAAUUCAUCUAGGAAAUGAGCAUCUGCAAUAGAAUCACAUGUAGUCACACAAAUCAAAACAACAUAAUGUGUGUGCAUCUGUAGUACCAUUGUAUUUAGUCACUCAAAACACUAGAGUGAGCACAUUUCCUAUGAUAAAGGCAUAUUAAAUGUAUAACAAGAAAUAUCCAAUGCUCGCUGAACAAACAUAUUUAGGAUACCCAAAGUGACACUAUUGAGAUCACUCUAGAGUAAAUAAUAUAAGAUAAGUGAGACAUGCUAAAUAACAUUCGGAUAUGGCGGUGGACAGGCAACAAACUCAAUACCAUGCCUAGGGUACAAAGGAAAUCUACAAUCUGCAAUACCGAAACCAAUAUAUUAAUGUUCUCUCACUCGAUCUUGCACACUAGCAGGAACAGAACAAUGUUCAAGAUGUAAGCAUGACUAGUAGGGAGCUCGUGAAUACCCGUCCAUGGCAUGGCCCGCGGCCGGCGGCACUGCCGAAUGAUCGAUCACCGCAGCAUGGGGCACGCGAGCGCUCCGACGAACUAGUCGCCCCCUGGUACACCAUCGUGCCAUUGAUGAGCGACAGGCCCGCCGGCGCCUGCGUGUUCAACCCGGCCGACUUCACGCUGCACAGCACACACAAAAUAAAACGUACUAUCAUCAACACAAAAUGUUAAUAGUAUAUGGAAUAUGUAUACCAGUAUACGUACACGUCAGUGCAAUAGUGAGCGGCUAUCGUUAGAAAAUAAGCCACGGAGAGGAGAGCGUGCAUCGUGACGGGAUAACACGUUGCGUGUCCCCUACGAGAGACGACGGUUGACUAAUCGAGUUGCCGUGGGCAGGCACGAUUUUGCUUGGAACUGUUCGAUUGGCGGCAUGCGAGCCACCGACCGCACUCUCGCGGACGGACGCGGCAAGGUCGUUGUUGGCCGGCUCGUCUCGUCGGUGCGCCGUGCACGUCAACCGGACAUCAGUACCUUUCUUUUGCUUUUGGGAGAGCCGAGCCAAGGAAAGGAAGCUCUCUUUUGGGUUGAGAAAAUGCAACGAUAGAUAGAUACAGCCUAUCUAGAAGCGACCUCCGUUUUGUUGGGCUAGAAACAAAUCUCCCCUAGCAGUUUUAGCACAACAAUUUAAGAAAAUCUAGCCCGACUGUUCUAAGAAAAAAAGGUACAUCUAGCAGAUUAUACGCUCGACCUCUUACAAAAUAGCAAGGCAUGGCGCCAAGAUCCUGACGGGAGGAGGCCUCCUGCUACAAAUCCCCAACAGGAAGAUACCCUAGCGACGGAUCUAACGAGAACUGGCUUGCGUUACCUUGCCGGAGCGCUUGAGGUGCGCGGAAUAGGCCUUGACGAACUCGUGGGGGUUCACGUCCUUGACCGUGCACGCCAGGAGGCCGCGGUCUCGGCUGCGGGAGCAGCCACGAUCGCCAUCAUGUGCUCUUGCCGACGGCGGCGCUGUCUUCAGGAAGGGAGGGAGAGGUGUGCGUGCCGCUGCGGCUGCGAGGGACUAGGGUUUUCUGGUGGCGGGGUGUGUGAGAGGAAGCGUCCGAAUUUAUACUGGAGGGACCUAGGUUAUGGGCCAUGUAACGAAACGAUGGAUCUGGUUGCAUGGUCUACUUAUUUGACCGGUAGACGGCCCACCUCUCACCGGACGACGUAGGAAAAGGGCGCGGGUAGGCGAAAGAAAUUUUGUAAAACAUCUAUCAAAAAUGUUUUUCAAAAAGGCACCACACAAAUUUUUACUGAAGUUAGAACACAUUUUACGGAUGAGGACCAAUUUGUUUGCAUUUCUGAUCUUUCUAGCUAUUUUUAAUUAUUUUUCGAGUGGCAAAAUUUGGUUUUUUGUGAAGAACCUACCAAAUAUUUGUUGCAAAAUUGAACUCCAUCAAUUUUCUAAAAUACUAGUACAUAUUUAAUAUAAAAUUGACCAAAUGAAUGCGUGUCAAAAGUUUUUAUCCACCUCUGGUGAAAAAGAAAACUUUUUGCCGAUUCAGUUGGAAACAGGUCAAACUUGAACUGCAGCUGCCUCAAAUUUUAAAAUUUGGAUAAACAAUAAUUGUACUUCCUUCACAAUGCUCUCUACUAAACAGAAUAUUGGGAAAAAUAUUGAGGAAAACUAGCUGAAUUAAAUGAGCUAAAAUUUGGUGGAGUGAGGUUAUAUGGUCAGUUUCAUCCCGUGGUAAAUUUUAUUCAACUAUAAAGCAAUAUAAAAUUUAGUUGCUUCAUAAAAUGAAAAUAUUACCAGAAACAAAGAUUCGAUGAUGAGCCCAUAUGGAUUAUUAGAUGGGGCUAAAUUUUUUGCAGAGCUAUGUUUUGGGCACAUAGAAGAUGUGAAAAAAAUUCAACUCAUCAAGAUAUUCCUAUCUAGUACUUCCUUCACAAAGUUGUUAGCUGAACACAAACUUUGGAAAUUUGCUGAGAAAUAUUUACUAGGAAAAUGGUUACGAAAGUUUUCAUGAGGCAAUGAUUUGGAUAGGAAAGAGUGCCCAAAAAAUAUGAAUGUAAUCAAAGAAAUAGAAAUAGCACUUCCUUCACAAAGUGCUAUUUUGAACAAAAUAGGAAAAUGAAUAUUGCUAAAUUAUUUUUAAAUAAUGGAAGGAAGGGUUUUCACAUAUUUGAGGAAUAUAUGAUCCAAAGUAUUUAUGAGAAUUUUUCGAGAAAUUUUGCAAUGAUAUAAUAGUAGGUUGCUUCACAAACUAGUCGGGUUUGACGCGUGACAUAGAAUGGACCCACCAGUGACAUGUCAACAUAGUUAGAACAUGUUACUACAUUUUUAUAAUCAUCGUAAAAGUUAUGACGAUCUCAUAUUAUGCGGUUAUGACGUUUUGACUCACAUCGUCGUAAUUUAUAUGUAGAUUUGAUCCCCUCAAACGGCUUACGACAAUCUCGGAUGAAAUCGUCAUAGAUUUAUGACGAAUUCAUCAACGACGUCUUAAAAACGUCAUGUAUGAGCAUAUUUCUUGUAGUGACAGGAGGUUGAACUUCUACAUGUACUCCUUGACAAAGCCACUUCCUUGCUUCAGCACUUAGAAUUAUCGCUUCCUCAUAGCCAUGAUUCCACAAGGAAUUUGGGCCUUGAGGAAUCCAUCCUUGAAAUGAGCCGAAAUGAUCACAUGGUCGCCUUUCAUCACCUUGAAUCCAUUCCACCAAGCUCUGGUAGUUCCUCCGAGGCAGUGAGAGGCAUAAAGCAUCUUGUCGUGAUCCUCGUUGCAGUUGACUAGUGCAAGGAAGUCCUCGAUGGUGCGGAUCCAGUCGGCAGCGUCCAGAUGUUAUGCAGUAUCAAUGAAGGUUGGCGGUAAAUUCCUCAUGAACUCCGAGAGAGUGGUAAGACCAUUGCCGUUUCUUCCUUGUUGAUGAUUGUUUGCAAGGACCUGAUCCAUAUGCUGGAUAGAAACAAUGUUGUCUUGGGGUUCCUCCCAGAGAACUUAGAGAAAGUGGGCUACGGUCAUAUUCUCAAGUGGAGGUGGUGGCGGGGGAUGUUGCCGUGUGGCUGCUCCUAGUGAUCUCUAGCCUAAGCAGACCCACAAGCUCACUACUGCUGUCUAGAGUUCUUGGCGUUGGGGUUGGCAAAGGAGCCAUUGUGGGUUGCAGUCGCCAUCCUGUUUUGAGGAUCCAAGUCAAAUAACUAGGAUAGAUAAGAGGGAAAAGCAAUAAUCAAGGAAGCGCACUUAAGGGGGUUGGUAUAGUGCAAGUAUGAUCACAGAGGGGUCGAAGGACCAAACACAUAAUAUUAAGAAAGAUAGACGAUGUAGUCACAUAAAUGCUGCCUAAGGAAAAAAGCAUGACUUGCAUCGAGACACAAAAAACAAAAAUAAACAACAAGCACGAAUGGUUUCACAUGAACCAUUACACGGACUCGACUUUACAUGAGGGAUACAUGACUUGUCCUACCCUAGGGGUUCUCAGAAUCAAGUUGCGGAGUGCUUGGUCUCGUACUCAUGCUCCUCCUGAUUCCUCCCUGUCAUCAUCCGUACAGGUGUCAUCUCAAGUCGAGGAGGCCGAAGAACGAGGAGGUUCAUCCAAAUGACGCUUCUUCGGUGGGUCUGAGAAGAGCGCACUGUACUCCUUCACACUCAUGCCAUGACGCUGAGAUGUUCCCAGAACGGGAGCUUCUCUAGCUAGGGAUACUCCUCCUCUAAGCGACAACUACUCGUCCCUCGGGGGCUCAUCCUUCUGGAUCAUGUAUGGCUUCAUGUUGGCUUGACGAAGUAGAUCUAGGGUGUGAUGAAGUUCUUUGCGGACCUUCAUGGACUACUUAAUCAAGUUGUGAGCCAGACUGUUGGCGGAGAGGGUGAAGUAGGUAUGGAACCUGAGUGGUGUUCCAUCCUCCUUGGGUGGGACCAACGUACAACUCCAACUAAUGACAUCCUUCCUGAAAGGUAGGUGUCGAUUAGCUGGCUCAUAACCUAUCUCUGGGUUGAUGUCACGAUGGUCGAUAACUGCCUUCCGUGCAGUCGUCUCUAUUGUGAUCGCCAAAGUCUCCAUUUGUGGUCCUUCAAAGAAUCAACUCAUCGGGGAGUCAUUUGCCUUCACCACCACAUCAAUGUGGUACUCCUUCGUGGUAGCAUUGAUCCAGGGCUCAUGAUGGGGAAAAUGGUAGCUCAGCGAAACUCGCAGUUCCCCAGGCUCUCCUCAAGGAGUAGGGAAAAGAUGGAUGCUAGGAGGUCAUAGGGUACGACGGUCAUCUGCAAGGUUUAAGUGGAGGAGAUUCAGUAAAGUUUUGAAGGUAGACUAGAAGAGAUAAGCCAUAUAGAACCUCCUAAGUAUAGGUACUAAGUUCGGUUUUUGAAAAUGGUUUUAUCAUAUCUUACAUCCAUGCUAACUAAGGCUUCCUACAGUCAGGAUGGCUGUGAUACCAUCUCUGUGGGGACCCUGACACAUAAGUCGAAGUCACAGAAUGCACGUGUAUACUGAUCCCAGAGAUCAAUGCUCAUUGAACACAUAGUAGCUGAAUAAUAAAGAGUAUUACAUCCAUUACAUACCGUCUUACACAAUUAUGACCAUUGUGGUCAAGUCUUAUACAGAUAGGGCCAUGAAGGCCAAACACCAAGCAUAAACUUUGAGCGGAAAUCUUGAACGAUAGCGUGGACCCAUGCCAUCUGCCAUAACCAUAUAGGCAUUCUGACUGGGAAGGCCUAAUUUGCAUGUUUGUCACCAAGGUAUUCUUAUCUAUAUUCCUAUUCUUUCAUACCUAGUCAAUUAAAUAGCUAGUGAAAAGCCAAUGAGUAAUUUGAAUGUAUGUGCAAGCAACCCAUGUUUUGAACAAGAUAAUCAUGCAUGGUUUAUCACUAAGCAGGUAGUUUUGUGGAAACUAAUUUUGAGUGCACUAUCAUGACCUAAUAUUUUUAAAAUCAUGCACCAUGAGGUUAUAGGUAACCGUAUGUACAGGUUACAGAUAUCAAUAUAAACAGAGUAUCUCAUCAUUUCAUCAAGUCAAAUAACUUGUCCCAAGUAUUUAUUUUUCCCACUCACACACGCCAGGUUUUGUAAAACAAUGGAGGUAGCCCAUGAGUGGUCAUCCAAGUGUCCUUGACCAUGGACACGGCUAUUCGAACAAUUUACACUCUGCAGAUGUUGCACGCUUUACCCACAAGAGUCGGGGAACUUUCAUGCAAGCCACGACUCGCGGUAUAUUACAUAUCCGACAUAAGCACCUGAAAAAUGCCUUCCAUUGACAACACUAAACAAAGAGUCCACUCGUUGGUACACGGCCCUCAUUAUGACAUCACAAGUACCAUCGCUAAGGGGACAUAAUAGUGCCUGAUGUCUGUGAGAACAGUCAUAGUCGAGAGAGUAACACAUGCUCUUCCAGGCAUGACCCCGAAUCGAGAGAGUAACACAUGCUCUUCCGCCUGUAGUAAUGCAGGCUCUCUGCUAGCAUUGACCAAAGUAAUAUACAAAGCCCGUCCCAUAAGGGGUAUCGUGGUCGUACAUGUAAGGUUAGAGAAAUUAUAACAACUUAAACCAAUCUCUUUUCAAAACCAGGACACACACUUGCCUCGGUACACCAUUUUUUAUCAAGUGGUUACCUAGCUCAACAUCUCCCUCGAGCAUUAGUGGCACCCGAUGUGGUUUUCAAAAAUGUCUUUGAUAAACAUUUGUUUUCCAACCCAUGCAUAUUCUCGUCCCACUUGCAUAGCAACUACUCGCACCUAACUAUUCCCACCCGCAUAACCCUCAUAGGAAGGUAGGCUCAUGCAUCAUGCAACUAUCAACUCGCAAUGCAUCGAAGACAACCCAACAAGGUGGUCGCCAUACAAUCAUGCUAUAUCAAGCAACGAUCAAACUACUACAACGUCAUGCAUAAAAAUAGUUUCACAACAUGAUGAAAGGGUUGCUUGUCUAGCUCAACAAAGUUUUCAUGGACUUCGAAUACUUCUGGUCCAACUCCCUCGCCGACUUCGUAAUUAGGAAUUAGGCCAUACCAAAACAGGAAAAAUAAAACACUCAGAAAAACGUCAACCUAAUUUUAUUGAAUUCUAGAUUUAAAUCCAAAAAUAGUACAUGUGUUGGUUUUGGAUUUGGCAAGACAGAAAUGGAGAUUUGGAUUUUUAUAAAUACUUAAACAUGGAUUUAAAUUGAAACCAUGUAGAAAACUUGUUCCAAAUGAUGCACAAGUGGCACCAUUAAAUAGUUGAGGUUUUAAAAAAAAAUUAAAAUUUUGAAUCACUGGAUUUGGACAAGUAUUUGUAUGUGUAGUAUUUUACAAAAUCCUACAUAAAAGGAAAAAUAAAAAGAGAAGACACAAAGUGGCUCGGCUUGAAUAACCCAUAGCUAGGCAGGCCCAGAGCCACGCCAGCCUAGGCAAACUGGUGCACACGCCCAGGUUAAGACCUGAUGGCUGGGGCCCGGCGGUCGGCCAAAGAGAGAGAAGGGAUAGAGAGGUGAGGAAGAUAGGCGGGCCCCACUUGUCAUCUUCAACCUCAUGACCACGGGCGCAGAGAUCUCACCGCCAACGACUCCAACCGCAGUGAGGCUGGCUGAAGGUGGGAAUGCAGUUAAGGUGAUCCUGUUGUUCGGUGGAGGAGAAGGGGGACGUGAAGGAUCCCUGGUUCACAAGUGGCGACGAAGUGUGGUGGGGGGAUCUAAGGGAGGUUUUUGUCAUGGUCGCCUCCGAGUGCCAAACAAAUGGAGGAAGGAGGAGUCGCAUCACGAUGUUGUAGCAGGCCCGUAGGGAAAAAAAGAAACAUCAGAAAGCUACCUCCCACGAGAUCGACAGGGUCCUAACAUAGUGGAGCUCGAGUUUGAUCUUGAUCUUGGAUGGCUCAGUGGAGGAGGAGUGGGUGGCCUAGGGGGUCGAUUAGGUAGGAGAGAGGGCAAGAGACGCGUUAAGAUAGACUUGGGGUGGCUUCAAGAGCGAGGGUGUGGUGCACCAUGAGAUUUGCCCACGGGUGCCUGUGGGAUCGGCUGGGAUGUUUGAUGGAGAGGGCUGGCUCGAGUAUGGGGCGUUCGGGUGUGUCGUCGAGAUCACUGGGGAUGGAAAGAUAAGAAGAGGGAGAGGCCCUAGCGCGUGCAUGUGAGGUCGUGCAUUGGCCGAGCUGGGCGGUGCUCGAGCAUGUGAUGCAGGGUAAGAGAGAGAAGGGGGCGACAGACAAACGUAUCGCGAACGCCAAGUUCUGUGUGACCAAUAUUCUGUUGCCAAGAUAGACAAAAUCAGAAUUUCCGAGCUUGAGUAUCGGUGCCACUAAGUUUGGCCAACUGACCGUUAGACACCUUUUUGGUGCCACCGAGUUUCAUAUAUCGGUCUCACCGAGAUUCAAAUUUUCACACCUUUGAGCUAGCCGGUACUUCCGAGUUUGCCCUUUUGUGUGUAGCGGUUGGAUUUUGGCUGCUGCCUAUAUAUACCCCUUCACCGACCUCUCAUUCAUGGGAGAAGCACUCAAAACACACACUUCACUCCCAGAUCCAUUUUCUGAGAGAGAACCACCUACUCAAGUGUUGAGACCAAGAUAUUCCAAUUCUAUCAUUUGAAACUUGAUCUCUAGCCUCCCCAAACUUCUUUCCACCAAAUCAGCCUUUCCUACCCAUGCAUAUUCUAUGAGAGAGUGAUUUGUGUUGAGGAGACUAUCUUUAGAAGCACAAGAGCAAGGAGUUCAUUGAUCUACCACAUCUAUUACCUUUUGGAGGGUGGUGCCUCCUAGAUUUGUUAGGUGUCACUUGGGAGCCUCCAACUUCAUGUUGUGGAGUUGAACUAAGAUGUUUCUAAGGAUAAGGAGAUCUCCUACUUCGUGAAAAUCUACGUUGAGUAAGGCUAGUCCUGCAUGGACGGAACCUGUGGUGGAAUAGACAAGGCAGCUUCUUUGUGGACCCUCUGUGGGUGGAGCCCUCUGUGGACUCUCGCAGCCAUUACCCUCUGUGGGUUGAAGUCUCCACUAACAUGGACUUACGGUAGCGCCACCUAUCGGAACCAUGCCCAAAAUUGCCAUGUCAACCUCAUGUGUUUGAUCUCCCUACCUUACUCCUCCAUAUUACACUUGCAUAUUUUACAUUCCACUGAUAUACUCUUAGAACUUCAUGUGUAGGGUGUACUUCACUUGUUAUAACUGCCGAGUUUCUGUCCUACUAGAAUUUGCGUUGGGCUAGAAAUUUUUAUCUAGAUAGGUAGUCUAUUCACCCCCUCAAGACACAUCUUCAAUCGAUCCCUCACAUAUUAAUAUUUUAUAAAAAUAGUGUUAUGUCUCAUUGUCACGCCCCAAAAAUUUCUAAAUAUUUAUUUAAUUAAAAUUUUGUGUGAAACAGAACUUUUGAAUAUAAUUUUCUUACUUGCUUAUUUGUGAGCCUCCUUUCAAUUUUCCCCUUCAAGUAGGAUUUUGAAAAUAAUUGUGGACUUGAGCGUUUGUUCGAAAUCAUUUUAAUUCAUUUUAUUAAAUUCCAUGGGGAAAUAUUUUUAUAAAAUGAAUUGUCAAACUAAAUUCUUUUAAAGGCAUUUUCAUUAUUUUGAAGAGCCUCUAUUACAGUGCAAUAAUUUCAUAUAUUUUUGAGAUGUCAAGUGAUUCAUGUGAUUCACUUUUAUGCAAAAACAAUAUUUUGAGUUCUUUGAAAAAUUUGAGCAAAGCAUCACCAUUUCUAUUAUGGUCCAGUUUAGUAGUUUGAACUACAACCCUAUUUUCACUUUCCCUCUUUGCCAUGACAUUUUUCUUGAAUGAAAUUCAUCCUACCAACCCUUAAGUCAAGGAGUUUAGACCCAUUGGAUUCUUUUAAGUGUAUGAAAUAACCAAGUGCAUUUUGUGACGGAAAAUAUUUUUCACCAAAAGUUGCGCUAACAAGUUUUCUGUUUUGCCCAUCUAACACCACCAUCACCUUUAGUGUUCAAAGAGACCCCUAAAGUUUGGAUGCCAGCAAAGUCUUCUAGAUGCCACUCGCAUUUCGUCAAAUACGCAGAGUGAUUGACCAUAUUUGGCAUGGUUCUACAAUUGCAUUGUGAACUCGCUUCCCUGGCCUAACCAGGAUGUCUAGGAGCCCUGCCUUAGCCUUUAAUCUAACAUUGGGAAGUUGCAACUUCAUCUCAGCACUCUAUGUGCGCCUGAAAUUUAGUUGAGCACUUGGUGGUCACGUCCAGAGCGCCUGUUUUGUACUCCCUCCGUUCCUAAAUAUAAGUCUUUUAAGCGAUUUUACUAAGGGACUACAUACAGAGCAAAAUGAGUGAAUCUACACUCUAAAAUAUGUCUAUGUACAUUUGUAUGUAGUCCUUUAAUGAAAUCUUUAAAAAGACUUAUAUUAUGAAACGGAGGGAGUAUAUGCUAGCGUCCGAGCUGACGCGUCUACCAACCGUCGCGCCCAUUGGCUCUUCCACGCCAGUAGAGCCGCACGGCGCUGAGCCAAACCCCAACCAAACUUCCCCUCCUUCUCUGAAGCGUCCUGCCAAGCCCCCAGACAUGACAAGCGCAAGCCACCAUCGCCGCCAAUGGUGGUUGGUGUAGUGCAGGCCACCUGGCGCGCCCCCGAGCGUCCCAACUCGUCGUCCUCAUCCCUGGACGCGUCCUCUUCCCCGACAGCCCUGCCAGCCUGCUCCUGCCGCCCCUGUUCUGCAGCAGUGGCCUACCGCCAUGCUUAUCCGCGGGCAGCCGAUGAAUCGACAUCCGUCCCCUAUAUAUAGCUAUCCCCAAGAUCCGUUGGUAGCAUCGCCUCGCUUAGUAAGCACCAAGACCGCUCCACAACCCCUCUAUCGAGACGUCCGUGGUCCUCGCGACCACUUCUGGUGAAACUCACCACCGCCAUGGUCCGGUUAAUUCGAGCCAGCCAGUGCCAUUCAGUGAGAGACCCUGCACCGCUACCCUCCUAGAGCAUCCCUGCUCCUCCCUCCCUCGCCAAUUUCAUCCAAAGCAAACCGUGGGAGAGUUCCCUGGUUCAUUGAAUCCCCUCCGCCAUGAGAGACGCUCUGCUCGAGCCCGAGCUCUCCAGUGUUGGCCUUCACCACCAGCGGAUACGAACAACUUCUGUGAUAACGCUGUUGCGCCAAGCGAGAAGAAUGGAGCACCCUAGACGCUGCAAUCAUCACCGAAGACCGUCCUUCUCUCAGGUUGUGUGUACGAGGGGAGGAAGAUGAACCUGACAGGUGUCCCCACCUGUCCGGUGAGUUUAAACUAUUUUUGAAUACGUAUUUCCGACAGGGUGUCCCCACCCGAGAGUGUUUCCAUACCUGUGCAUGAAACCGACAAGGGAUAUUAAAUUUCGUUCCCCUAGUUAGGUCACACUCGGCAGGUUUAUCCCUAAUUCCUAAUACACUUGUUCCUGCCCAAACCAAUUUUCUUCUCUUAUGCUUUUGCUAUUUGAUCGUUUGACCAUAACUUUCAAAAUUUCUGAAAAAAAUCAUAGUAACUCGAAAAAAUUAAAUAAGAAAUCAAAAUGUUCAUAAAAACAUAGCCUAUAUGUGCGUGACAUUACGCAUUCACAACAAAAAUGUUGGAAAGUCCCCAUUUGAGUUUUAUUUGAAGUCAACAAAAUGGGAUUUCCAACAUUUUUGUCAAGAAUGCAAAUGCCAUGCACAUAUAGGUGAUGUUUUUGUGAACAUUUUGAUAUCUCAUUUGAUUUUUUAGGAGUUAGUAUGAGUAUUUUGUGAAGUUUUUAAAGUGUCGGUCGAACUAUCAAAGGGCAAAGGCAUAAGCGAAGCAAAGUGUUAUGGACGGGAAUGAGUUUUUUCUGGAACUAGGGGUAAACCUACCGAGUGUGACCUAACUAGGGGCAUAAAUUCAGUUUAUUCAUUAGUUUUUUUGAAGACGUACUUCCACCAAAGCGAUUUCUUUAAACCAUUUCUUUAAACAGAUUUUGACUAAAGUUUGACUCCAUUGGUUGAUUCUUUUUUUGUUAUUUCGCAAAUUUCGUCUAGUUUAUUUACAACUUUAUUUCAAAAAAAUUCAAACAACUUUUCUACACUAUUUUGGGAAUGUGUGUUGCUUCCAAUAUUUUCCUUUCAAAAAUAGGAAAAAUGGAGGGAAGAAUUCUAUCAAAGAUUUUGGAGUGCACACUACCCUUCUUCAUACCCAAGGAAAGCAUCUUGAACACUGAUUGGUCAUAAGUUGUAUGAUUUCUUGCUAUGAUAAAUGAAUGCAUUUCUAUUUUCUAAGAUAAAGAGUUCCAUAUAGGAAAUAUUAUGCAUGAAUGCAUGUGACAUGUAUUCAUUUACUGUUGAGCAUAGAAUAAGUUGAUAGUGGGUACUCCCUCAUACCAUUUAUGCCUAUGAUGGUCCGGACAAACUAGGAGCAAGGUUGGUUGUGGUAAAUGUAUGUGUGACCGUGAAACUGAUAUCUUGUGGUGACGAGAGUGAUCAAUGAGGGCAUGUCGAGGUUUGAUGGUGGUAACACUAUCAGAUAUCAUUAAGAAGUUUUGUGGUGCUAACCAUUGGAGGAAAACUUAAACCUCGUGAGUCGACCGUAGAUCGAGUCUUGUGCGAGUAACCCCCAUACCUGAUUUGUGCUACCACUAGUCCCUGCCAUGGGUAGAGUAUGGUUCAGUAAAUCGCCAACCCCUUCCCUUGCACACACCGUAUAAAGAAUCCAUAGUGAAAGAUACCACUGAUCACUCGUCGGCAUGUCACUUGGUCCUGGGGCAUGGGUGUUCCGGUUGGACCGAGGGGGUGGUGCCCCUGUUUUGUGUGCGGUACAAUUAUGUUAAUCCCAUGCUAAUCUAGAUUGUGGUCUCCCCACUUAGACUUUUUACUAAACAAUUGCUUGGGUGAUUCCUCGCAUCGGGAAGUUAAGCUUCUGUGUGCGGGUCAAGUGUGUUUUCUACCCAAAGACCGUAAGCGGAAUUAGCCACCGCCUCAUGUUGACUAAGGAAACACGUUACUCAUUGGUAAAGAGUAUACCCUCUGCAGAGUUAAAUAUCUAUUCGAAUAUCCAUGUCCGCAGGUAAGGACUACAGUGUGGGAUCGGUCAAGUGUAUGUCUUCGAAGGAAUUAAUUGAAACAUGAUGAUGAUCAUGAACCAUGAUGGAUGAUCAUAAUUAGUACGAAUUUUUUUCUGGACUAAUCAUUUCGUGUAUAUGAAUUUUUCAGUGUCCCUAGGAAGAUUCUACCUCGGAUACUCGAUGUUAUUAUUGUCUUUAUAAGCCCUUUAGCUGGCGUCGCUCAGACCACCGACUGUGGCAACUUUUAUUAUUUUCCAUAUGGGCCCUAUAUGUGGCAUCGAUCACACACCUUACUAUGGCAGAUGUUAUGAUUUCCAUAUAAGCCCUUUAGGUGGUGUCACUCACAUGCCCGACUAUGGCACGCGUGUUAUUACUUACACAUUGUUAUUAUCAUCUUAUAAGACCUUUUUGUGGUGUCGCUCCACACGCCCAACUAUAGCACAAUGAUUAUUAUUUUGUUAUAAGCCCUUUAUGCGGCAUCGCUCCAGACGCCCAAUUGUGGAAUUACUUUUACUAUGCUGAUAUAAGUCCCUUUAUGUGGUGUUGCUUAGACACACGACUCUGGCUUAUAUUGCAUGUCCUUUCGAGUUGUCGUCUGAGACGCUCGAUCGGACUAUUUUACUUGCUUAUAAUAUUUGGAAGGACUAUCGCCCGAUGUUCCAAUUUAAUUUCAUUCAUUGAUUUAUCAUUUAUUUUCAGUAUGAAGAAAUUACCUACUUACCUAAAUUUAUGAAUUUAUUGUGUGACUAACUGAAUAUCUGUAAAUUUAAGUUAUUGUUACUCUCUUUCUUGAUUUCUUAUACAUAAUUGAUAGAAAUGAUUUAUCAGCAUAAUUGCAUCUAUAAAUUAAAUCCUAUGGCAUCUGUUGGUUAUUAAGAUCUUAGUGCAUGCAUCUCACCUGCUUUUACUUAUCUGUUUUCAUGAUGUUUGGGAGUACAUUCAAAAUACUCAUUGGCAUGUACCUGGCUAUUGUCUUGAUCGGAUUGCACAUUUGGAGAGGAGCUCGAUGACGUCAACCCCAAAACCUAGGCGUCGAGGAUAGCAUCCUUUAAAGAUAGGAAUUAUCCAAGUCAAUUGUUCCUAUGGGAAUGAAUUCCCAUGGACGCUGGAGAUCCACGAGUCGCUUCCGCCAUCACCCACUAGACAUUUUGUUAAACCCCAUGGACCUUCAUGGUAUUGUACACCAAAUUUUGCACUUUGCUUUGAAUUUAUGUAUCAAGUGAGUGUCCACUAGCUAAGAGUAUUCCUGGGGGUGGUGAGCACAAGGGCAUGUUAGUGGGAAUUUUAUAUCGUAGAAAACCGGUCCCUACAACCUUGGUAUCAGAUCCGACCCACAAAGACAUGCAUGGAUCAGGUGCAUGGGCAUGCGACGCAUGUCGCGUGUGGUCCGUUGUGGCACAUGGCAUGGCACAUGUGCUGGACUAGACGCGCAUACAUGUGCCAAGAGGGAAAGUUCUUUAUGGGCCGAUGAGGACAUCGACUCCUUUGAGUUGGGGUCUAUGUGAGAGCUGGGCUUAUUAGGAAUGAUAAACUACUCAUAUCAACAAGGAAUUCCUUCUUUUCUUGGAGCCCACUCGAAAAGAACUCCAAAGUUAAGCGUGCUUGCCUUGGAGCAAUUCUAGGAUGGGUGACCGAUCCGUAAGUUCGUCCCGGGUGCGCGCGAGUGAGGACAAAGUGCGCAGGAAAGACUAAUGUUGGUUUGUGGAUUCAGUCUAGAUCCUGCCAAGCAUAACAGGGUGUUACAAUUCGUAUCAGACCAAGGCUGACCAUUGACUAAUCCUAUCUUAACCAGGUCGCUAGCAAUAGAUCGGAUAUUUAUAUAUCCAAAUCCCAUCCUAGCCUGCCCGGUAGCCAUCCACAUUGUCCAUCUGACACCUUUUUGGCAGUCGAUGCUCAACCUGCCAGCCAGUCCAUAGGCCAUGUGUUUGUGACCAACACUAGAGAUGUCGCAUCCCCUAGCAUGCGAUAGAAGACUCCCUUCGCCUAUAAAGGAAAGCCUUGCCUCAACCCAGCACCCCACAACCUUCAGUCCAACUCCAAUACCCCAGACCAACAAGAUUUCUAACCCAUCAUUUGCCACGAUACCACCGUAUCCGAGCCUGAAGACUUCGUAGCUAUCCUCGCCGACCUCAACCGCGAAGUUUUUGGCAUGGAAGAAACCCCGGUGUAUGUUGAGCAUGAGGAGCCUGCGAGUGAUGCUAUCCAUCACCUUUGGGUCGCGGUGCACAUCUAUGGAGGGAGUUCCUCAUUGGAACGUCCUUUCCAUUUCACUUGUAGAGCAGCCGCCAACGAAGCCCAAGCCCGCCAGCUUGUAGCCUGAGCAGUUAUAGUCGAGCUGCGGCAUCUGUCGCCAAGAAUGAAUAGCCGCCUAUUCUGCUACUAUUCGAGCUGUAAAGGGUAUGGUAGCCCGACCCAGGUCGCCAGGAGAGACCUUGAGACAGAUCCUACAUUAGUGUAGGUAGUGCGCUACUUAAGAGCGCAGGAGGUGUUAACCGAUUAGAUCACCUUUGACCUGGUAGCGACCCGUAGGUCAUUCGUUCACCGGACCAUGGUAAGUAGUGAAGCUGCACGUGCAUCCAACAACCAACUAGUAUUAUUUAGAAGACCUGUUAGAUCCCUGAGGUCUGCCGUAGUUCUCCCUUUAGACAUCCUGAUCAUGACCCCGGAAGAGCUUCACCGUAGUUUGGAUGCAUACUACAAUGAAGUUGUGCCUAGGGCGUGCCAUCCGAGACGUUGUCGCCACCGCAACCCUACAACCGUGUCCCAUGGCCUAGUAAAUUCUAGAACUAUGUCAACCAGAGAAGCCUCAUUGGAUGUUGAGCACAUCAACGCAGAAUCCAUCGAAGGUGGAGCGAGUCCACCAGAGUAGAUGUCACGCCCUAGUGGUCGUGUUGCCCUGUAAUGCUAUAUUUGCGUAUUUUUCUGAAGUUUUACUAAGGCCGUUUUAAAUAAAAUUGCAGGAUGCGCACACAUUGUUAUUCUUUUUAACGGCAAUAUGCAUAAUCAACGCUAAACUAGAUGACGUAUGGACUUAAAUUAAUUUUGGGGGGUAGCUACCAAAGCCACAUAAUCAGCUACCUGAGUAAUGCGUCAACUUGGGAAUUGAUAUACGAGACCUUCCAAGGAGAAGCAGAAUGUGUCCCCUUGACCGGGGAUAUUUGCUCGGAGCCCUAUCGCUCAUACUGUGUAAAUGACUAUCGGAGUGUUCGUUAAUCUAACAAUUAAUUGCAUGACGCUAUAUCACUAACUCUGUGUUAUAUAUAAUUGUCUUGAUUGCACCUGCAUAUGGGUGACCUUGUUCCAUGUUUCACAAGUGAGUUAUUUUCCACCCUUAGAAAAUCUCGAGGACUAGAUUUUUCUAUAAGGGUAUUAGUGUUUGUCACGCCCCAAAAAUUUAAUUGUAUUCUUAUUAAUUAAAAUUUUGACUAAAAUAAAACUUUUGAAUAUAAUUUGCUUCCUUGAUUAUUUCUCAGCCUUCUUGCAAAACAAAAAUCCCUCCAAGUAGGUUUUUGAAAUCUUUGUGGACUUGAGGGUUGGUUUGUAAUCAUUUUAUUUCAUUUUACUUUAUUCAGUGGAGAAAUAUUUUUAUAAAAAAGUGUCAAAAUAAAUUCUUUUAAAGGCCUUUUCAUUGUUUUAAAGAGCCUCUAUUGCACUGACACCAUUUCAUAGAAUCAUUUAAAAAUUUCAUAAAAAUUUGGAGACGUCAAGUGUUCAUGUGAUUCACUUUUAUGCAAAAACUUCUUUUGUGUUCUCUGGAAAAUUUGAGCAAAGCAUCUCCACUUCUAUUCUGGUCCAGUUUAGUAGGUUGAACUACAACCAUAUCUUAACUCGCCCUUUUGGCCAUGAGAUUUUUCCUGCUUGAAGUACAUCCUACCACACCCUUAAGUCCAGGAGUUUACAACCAUUGGAUUAUAUUAGGUGCAUGAAAUAACCACCUUCAUUUUCUGGCGAGAAAUGUUUUUCACCAAAAGUUGCACUAACAAAUUUUCUGUUUUGCCCAUCUAACACCACACUCACAUUUAGUGUCCAAAAAGACCCCUCCCUAGAAACUUUGGAUGCCGGCAAAGUCUUCUAGAUACCACUGGCAUUUCAUCAAACACCUAAAGUGCAUGGCCACAUUUGGCAUGGUUCUACAAUUACAUUGUGAACUCGCUUACCUAGCCUAACCAGGAUGUCUAGGAGCCUUGCCUUAGCAUUUAACCUAACCAUGGAGAAGUUGCAAGUGCAUCUGAGUCCUCUAGUUGUGCCAGUCACUUAGUAGAGCACUUAGUGAGCAUUUCAAGAGCGAACUCAGAGAGCUCGUGUUGCACGUGCUCGUGUCCGAGUUGUCGCAUCCACCAACCCCCAUGCCUCUUGGCUCUUCCUCGCCCGCAGAGCCGCGCCACGCCGAGCCAAACCCCCACCGAUCUUUCCCUCCCACUCUGUAGCGUCCCGCCAAGCCCCUAGCCGUGCCAAGCGCAGGCCGCCAUAGCCAACUGAUGUAUUCGGUGUCGUGCAGGCCACCUGGCGCGCCCCCAAGCAUCCAAUCUCGCCGUCCACAUCCCCGUAUGUAUCCUCUUCCCCCGACAGCCCUGCCAGCCUGCUCCUGCCACCCAUGUUCUGCGACAGUGGCCGUACGCCAUGCUUAUCUACGGAAAGCCGAUGAACCGACCUCCAUCCCCUAUAUAUAGCUAGCCCCGAGCUCCGUUGGUACCAUCGCCUUGCUUAGUAAGCACCAAGACCGCUCCCCAGCCCCUCUAUCAAGUCGCCGAUGGUCAUCGUGUCCACCUCCGAUGAAACUCAUCGCCACCAUGGUCCGGUUAAGUUCGAGCUAGCCAGUACCAUUCCGUAAGAGACCCUGCACGUCUACCCUCCUAGAGGCUGCUCCCUCCCUCACCAAUUUCAUCCAAAGCGAUCCGUGUGCAGAGUUCCCUCGUUCACUGAAGCCCCUUUGCCAUGAGACAAUCUUUGCUCGAUCUCAAGCUCCCCGGUGUUGGCCUCCACCACCUGCGGAUUCAUACAGGCUCUGUGAUCAUGCAGGUGCUCUAGGCAUGGAGAAUGGAGCCCCUAGCCACUGCAAUCAUUACUAAAGCACGUCCUUCUCUCUGCCAGUGCACAUGAUGGGAGGAAGACGAACCCGAUAGGGUGUCCCCACCUGUCGGUGAGUCAGCCUUUGCCCAGAUGGCACAGAUCCCCUGGUGCAUUUUCGCUUCUAGGAGACGUAUGCCCUAGAGUACGUUAUCUUUUUCCGAAGAUAUAUUUCCACCGAAGCAUUUUCUUUAAACUAUUUUAUUAAAUAGAUUGUGACUAAAGUUUGACAAACUCUAUCUUUUAAAAUAUAACUCAAAGUUCAUCUAGUUUAUUUGUAGAUUUAUUUCAAAAAUAUCAGACAACUUUUCCGCAUUGUUUUGGGAAUGUGUGUUGAUUCCAAUAUUUUCAAAAAUAGUAAAAUUGAAGGAAAGAAUUAUUUCAAAGAUUUUGGAGUACGCACCACCCUUCUUCAUACCCAAGGCAAAUGAAUACAUGUCUAUGUUUGUAGGAUAAAAACUUCAUUUGUUCUUGCGUGAUUACUUGGUGAGAGAAAUGAAUGCAUGUCUAUGUUUGUAAAAUAAAAACUUCAAUAUAGGAAAUAUUAUCCAUCCAAGCAUGUGACAUGUAUUCAUUUGCUGUUGAGAAUAGAAUACAGAUGAUAGUGGGGACUGCCUCAUACCACGUAUGCCUAUGCUGGUCCGGACAACCGCGGAGUAGGGUUCGUCGUGCUAAAUGUGUGACCUUGAAACUGAUAUCUCAUGGAGACGAGAGUGAUCAGUGAUGGCAUGUCGAGGUUUGAUGGUCGUAACACUCUUGAAUAUCGUUAAGUAGUUUUGUGGUGCUAACCAUUGCAGGAAAACUUAAAGCUCGUGACUCGAACGUAGAUCGAGUCUUGUGCCAGUAACCCCCAUACUUGAUUUGUGCUACCACUUGUCCCUGCCACGGGUAGGGUAUGGUUCAGUAAUUUGUCAACCCCUUUCCCUCCACACACCAUACAGAGAGGCCAUAGUGAAAGAUACCCUUGAUCACUUGUAGGCAUGUCACUUGGUCCGGUGGCAUAGGUGUUCCCCUUGGACCGAGGGGGUAGCGCCUCUGUUUUGCACCCGGUAAAAAUAUGUUGAUCCCAUGAUAAUCGAGAUUGUGGUCUCCCCGCUUAGAGUUUUUCUUAACGAUUGCUUGGGUGAUUCCUGGCAUCGGGAUAUUAAGUUGAUGUGUGCGGGUCGGGUGUGUUUUCAACCCAAAGACCAUAAGAGGAAUUAGCCAACGUCUCCGGAUGACUAAGGAAAUCCGUUACUCGUGGGUAAAGAGUACACCCUCUUCAGAGUUAAAUAUAUAUUCGGAUAGCCAUGCCUGAGGGUAAGGACUACAGUCUGGGAUAGGGGAUAGGUCAAGUAUCAGUCUUCGGAGGAAUUAAUUGAAACACGAUGACUAUCAUGAACCGUGAUAGAUGAUCAUAAUUAGUAUGAAUUUUGAUGUGUACUAAUCAUUUCUUAUAUAUGAAUCUUUGAAUGUCCAUGGGAAGGUUCUACCUCCCUAAUACUCGAUGUUAUCAUUGUCUUUAUAAGCCCUUUAGGUGAUGUCGUUCAGACGCCCGACUAUGGCAACUGCUAUUAUUUUCCAAAUGAUCCCUUUUUGUGGCGUCACUCAGACGCUCGACUAUGGAGUUGUUAUUAUUUCCAUAUAAGCCCUUUAUGCGGCGGCGCUCAGACACCCGAGUAUGGCACACAUGUUAUUACUUAUUCAUUGAUAUUAUCAUCCUAAAAGCCCUUUUUGCGGUGUCACUCCAGAUCCCAACUGCGGCACAUCGAUUAUUAUUUUGUUAUAAACCCUUUAUGCGGCAUCGCUCGAGACGCUCGAUUAUGGCAUAACUUUAUUAUUCUGAAAUAAGUCACAUUAUGUUGCGUCGCUUAGACACCCGACUGUGUCUUAUAUUGCGUGUCCUUUUGAGUUAUCGCCUCAGAUGCCCGAUCGGACUAUUUUACUUGCUUGGAAUAUUUGGGAGGACUACCACCCGAUGAUGCAACUUAUUUUCAUUCAUUGAUUGCUCAUUUAUUUUCAGUCUUAAUAAACUACCUACUUACCUGCAUUUAUAAAUUUAUCUUGUGACUGAUUGAUUAUCCAUAAAUUUAAGUUAUUGUUACUCUCUUUCUUGAUUGCUUAUACAUAAUUGGUAGAAAUGAUUUGUCUACACAAUUGUAUCCAUAAAUUAAAUCAUAUGGCGUGUCAUGGUUAUUAAAUUUUUUGUGCAUGCAUCUCACCUCCUUUUACUUAUUUGUUUUCAUGAUGCUUGCGAGUACAUUCAAAGUACUCGCUAGCAUUUUCCCUGGCUAUUGUCUUGGCCAGAUUGCUUAUUUGGAGAGGAGCUGGAUUAGGUCAACCCUAGAACCUAGGAAUCGAGGAUAGCAUCCUUGCGAGAUAGUAUUUAUCCAGGUCAGUUGUUCCUGUGGGAAUGGAGUCCCAUGGACGCUCGAGAUCCACGAGUCGCUUAUGUCGUGAGCCACUAGACAUUUUGUUAAAACCCAUGGAACUUCAUGGUCUUGUACCCAAAUUAUGUAUUUUUGUUGGCAUUUCUGUAUCAAGUGAGUGUCCACCAACUAAUAGUAAUCCUCGCGCUGGUGAGCACAAGGGCCUAUUACUAGAAAUUUUAUAUCCCGGAAAACCGGUCCCUACACCCAUACACAUGGCCUGAUCAUUGGGCAAAGGGUUGGAACAAGGAGAUGAGUUUUGUGAGUGGGAUGAUUUUUGUGAAUUAAAACACAAACAAGAAAACUAGAAAAUAGCAAUCAACUUGUAAUGGCCAAGAUGAUAUCUUAUCCUUAUUUCGGGUCGAGGGCCUCAACAAGGAUGGAACCGCAUCUCGUCGUUUCGCCAGAAUGGAUAUCGUUACAAGUACAUGUACAUAAUAGAUGAGUAUAUGGAAUUGGCCUACACUUUCCACAAGCUAUAACAUGAACAUAUCAACACAACAGUACAUUCAACCACCAUUUAGAAGAGGAGGGUUUGACUAUAAACGAAAUCAAACGAUAAAAUGAUAUCCAUCCGUGCUAUCCCAGGUAGUUGGCCUCGAACCCAUCCUAGAUCGAUGAGGAAGAAGAAGAAACUCCAAGUAGAACAAUAAUCGCGCUCACACAAAAAUAUUGCUUUAACUGUACCUGCAACUGUUGUAGUAGUAAUGUGUGAGCCGCAGGGACUCGGCAAUCUCAUUUCCAAAUUUAUCAAGACUAAGAAAGCUUAAUGGGUCGGAUAUGGUUAAGUGGUGAGGUUGUAUAAAGCACUAAGCAUUUACUUGAGUGGCUCACUAACGAGUACAAGAAUAUGAGGGGGUGAUCUACGCAUAAACUACCAUGAAUUAAUAAUGAUCAACAAGUGAUCCUGAACACCUACUUACAAGUCAAACAUAACCCCACCGUGUUCUCUCUCGGAUUCAGGACUCACGAGAAGAAACAAUCACGGUUACGCACAUAGUUGGCAUAUUUUAUUUGAGUUUACUUCAUGUUUUUUAUGACCGUGUGUUAAAGAAAAUUUCAAAGUUGCCACAUAACCGCGGGCACAACUUCCGACAUUUAACCCUGCAUGGGUGGUCCAAAUCAUCCAUCACAGACUAGCCACAAGGUGCGUGGAAAACCUCAAUCAUAGAAAACCCGUAGUCUCUUUGGAAUCCCGGUGGAAAACUUCAACCUCGAGAUAGCCCAAAGUAUCCUCCCAAUCCCUGUGUAUACGAUAUUUCAUAAAAGGUAAAACAAAUCCAGCAAGGUUGCCCGAUGUGUCGAUGAACCCGAUAAGAGCCGCGUAUCCCAUGCUCAGGACACGAGCGGAUGAGUAAGACGUCGGGUUGGCUGAGACCCCGGGUGACCAGGGGACGCCUGACAUCGCUCAGUUUGGACCAACACUCAUGAGGAGCACUGGCCUCAUUUGUUGAUUAAUUAUCCACGGGUUAAUUACUCCCUAUGGGGGUUUAGUAGUUAUUAGGCAAAUGUAGUACCCAAGUUGGGCCCUAUCGGAAGAAUAUCAAUCUAAGACGAAUUAUCAAGGGGGUCCACAUAACAACCCCGGGCAUGUUAAGAGCGCUCAAUAUGGAACGUAACACCGGUACACAAGUAACUAGGGCGACAAAGGUGGAACAAAACAUCGAGCCAAAAUGUCAAGCUUUCACUUUUUACCAAGUUUAAAUGUACAUUAAAUUAAAUAGCAAUAAUAUUGUGAUAUUUCAAGAAAUCCAUGCUGACACUUGGAAAACAGCUUUCACGUGCAACUAGCAACGCUAUAAGAAGGGUUGAGCAAGCGUUACAUAGCCAAACAAAGAUUUGAUGGAACGUGGAGGGGGGUUAGAGGUUUUUCAUGGCAAUGUUUGGAGGAUUGACAUUCAGGUGGUAGGUAAUUAUACAUAACAAUACAAGUUAGACAACUUGCAUAGCAAUGAUAGUAGUGGUAUACAGGGAAAUGGUCAUCUUUCAUGAGGUCCCGCUUGGAAGAAGAACGAGUCCACGAAGUAAAUGAACGGGCAUAGUCGAGCAAGUCCUCACACACCCUGAAUCAUAUUCAGAACUCUAUCGAGAGGAAACAAUAUGGAAACAAACAACCAACACACAAUAACACCACAACAUAUGCAUGGCAUGAUGCAUAAUAAAUUAUGAUGCAUUAUGCAUGACAUGGCAAAGCACAGAGAUCAACUUCUACACAUUAAGUGCAGCUCAAUAUUCAACGAGUUGCAUAUUGACAAAAUUCCAUAUUUGAAUUACUUAGUUCACUCCCGUUUAGGUACAUGACAAGUUAAAAUAUUGUUAAACAUGGCAAGAGGUGAAGCAUAAAUAAACUUUAUAUCUAGUCAUUUUAAAUGAGGUCGGAAAUAACAUAUAGCAUUUCCAAAAUGACCCCAUAUGUUAAUUUCGAAAUUGGUCCCGAUCUGAACUAACCACAUUUUAUAUUCAUUAAACAAGGAAACAAAAUGAACCAUGCGAUUCUACACGUCAUUCUAGAUGACUUACAUAUAUAGGUCAUCUAAAACAGAGCUACGUUCUAAAAGAUAUCACCAACAAAAGAUAAUAUGUCAUGUAUGCCAAAUGUAUAGAGAUGACAACCACAAACAUUCCAAAUCAUGGAUGUCGCAAUAUAUUAUGAAACUACAUGAGAUUCUAUGCAAGUUUCAUAUAUGGCAUGUUCAAAACAGAGCAACGGUUCCACAAAUACAACCAACACAAGUUAUAGCAAUAAUCUACCCAAAAUAGCAACAUGGAAUUUUGGACACACCAAAACAACAAUCUACAGGAAUCUAAAAUGAACAAACAAGACAUUAGACAAUAGCUAACAUGAUUCACAAUAAUUCAUCUCACUCCUCUGCUCAGGUGAACCUUCCCGACCCUCCCCUCGUGGUCGUGCAUGGCCUGCAUGGGUGGUUCUAUGUUGGAUCUGGAUUUCUCGCACGGUUUGGCUUUCUCUAAUGAGGUUUAUCGCCACUCGGGUUUUACGGUGCACCGUAUGAAGCAUCAUCGCCCUUUCAUCAUGGUGAUUUCCUUUGGUCGUCACGUGUUCCGGCUUUCACCUGACACAGUCGCCGCAGCUCUGGAAUCGGUGAUUGGAGGAUCGGCUAUUGAGUUUCGUGUCUCUCAAAUCACAGAUUCGGUGUUCUCCUUCAAGGUCUCCUGCAUGCAAGUUGGUUUUCACAUUCUGGAAUUGCGUUCUUUCAAGUGUUCAAGUUUUAAGUGCUUCUUCCAUCUUUGGGGACAUGGAGGUCCUAAUUGGCGUCGGGAAUUUGCUCUGUGGAAGAAGCAAUGUGAUGCGGAGUGGCUUAUUGUGAGCCCUUCUAAGAGAGAGCCUCUUUAGGUCUGAUGGCUAUGCAUUCCAGACCUCUUAAGUCUUCUCUUAUAUCUGGAUCUUCUGUUCGUAAGAAGCUAACUUUUGCAUCCCUUCAGCAAUAUGAGGUUUGCAAGGGUUACAGAUAUCCUCUUUGCCAUGAUGAGUUAGUCACACUUGAGCAGGCUGGUUAUUCGGUGCCUUCCCCCGAGCGUGUCAUCAUCUCCGCACCACCGCCGGCGGAACUCCGGUGGACGACAGCCAUGCCGCAUAUUACGUUUGGGACAGUUUCUUGCCAAGUUUCAUCUCCCGGUUCUUCCGGCGAGGAUUUUCAAACUGCCAAAUUAUUCGGAACUUCCCACGUGCAACAAGAAGCUACAUCUGAUCCAGCCGAGAUUCAUGGUAUUUUCAAUGAUGAGAAUUAAUUUUCGGUGGCAAGUUUGGAUUCUGGGAAAAUUUCCUCUCUCAUUAAUGAGCCUGCCGACGUUAUUUCUUCCCCUGUGCCCGAGCCUAAUUGCCCAAUGGAUAUUCCUUCCUCUCAGGAGGCCCAUCUGGCUUUUGACGAACUCAUUAAUAGCAUGGUGGAGGAUAUCUUUUCUUGCUCUAUUUGCAACGCUCGGGGCCAUCUAGCUGCGAACUCUACGGCUUUGCCUGGAUGCUCUGACAACACGGUGGGCCACACACGAUCUAGAGGAGCUUCUUUUAUGCGUAAUAAUUGUCUUACUUGGAACUGUAAGAGACCCACCACCUCCCCUGUCGCUGGUAUCUCAGGAACUGCUGAUACUCUCGGCGAAACAGCAACCCCUGUGACACAGUUCCGUCCUGUCUCAUCGCUGUCGCCUCCUCAAACUCCCUCUGAGACACCACCGGUCACUCCGCCACUGCCUCCCGCAAUGGAGAACUUUGAGCUUGAUGCUGAGUUCUUCCUCCCGCCUGGUCACAAUAUCAUCGAUGGAGGAGUCGACCGGCUACCUCGGACCUACACCACGCCUGCGGUCCCCAUCACCACACGUCACGAGCGCUUUGUCAUCGCUGACGUCCACCCGGCGCCACCGGCUGACGACGUGAUUCACGUAUGGCAAGAAGUUGCUGCACUUCUCUUACAUCAAGGGUUGCAUGUUCGGUCUGCUCAACCUUGCAUUGAGGGACUUGGAUUGUUUGAGCUCCGAGACGCUGCCGAGAGUUAUGCUGCGGUCCACAUGGUUCCGCAGCCAGUUGCUCAGAUCUCUGUUCUGCGCUUCAUGCGUCACGAUCAGGGUCUUGGGUUCCGCGACCAAGAGGGUUUUCGUCAGGGCUGCCUCAUGCUUUUGGGGGUCCCGUUGGAUUUCCGCAAUACUGAAGAUCUCCGGGCGGCUGUCAACACCUUUGGGGAGUUUCACCAUUGGAUCAGUGAUGAUCCAUAUUUGGUUCGCUCUAUUGUGUUUGCUGCCUUCCGAGAUGACCGACUGGUACCCCGCAGUAUCACUUUUUCUGAAUAUGCUGCUUGGGGUGGCGCCAAGGUUUCCUGGUCUGCUCCUGUGAACAUUCUGGGUGCGGCGGCUGCAGAGAUUCUACGUAAUGAUGAGAAUCCGAUGCCCCUCAAUGGCAACCCUCAUCUGCUCCCUGGACAUCUUGUUCAUGAUAAUCUGCAGUUUGCUCUGCCCCCAUAUCCUGCACUGGGCUAGAAUGCGGUUCCGCUGGCACCUGGAGACCCUGGGCCUGCUGCUGCUGCUGUUGAUGACGGAGGCUGGGAGCAGCCGCCUGCUACUGCUGAUGAUGGAGGCUGGGAUCAGCCGCCUGCUGCUGCUGCUGGAGGAGGUUGGGAACCUGAAGUGGCACCGGCAGCAUGUGCUGCUGAUCCGGUUCAGGACCAAGAAUCUAUGGUGAUUGAUAAGCCGAGUCCCUCUUCCUCGGAUUUGGUUCACGAGUUGGUGGACCUUGAUCUACCGCAGGGUGACAUGGAGGCGGAACCUGCUUCUCAAGAACCACCGCUGGAUAAUCCUGACGCCCCUAAUGCUGAUGCUCAUGAAGCUGAUUUACCAAUGGCUGCCCCGGACAAUGCUGCUGAGCCAGAGGAUGAAGUGCCUGUGUUGGAGGAGGUGCAUGAUGAAAACCCUCUGGCAAUUGUUCUCUACAAAACCCCUCCACCCACUCAGUCUGGCAACCUCUUUGUUGGGGCUGCUAGGGUUAUGUAUGGUCCUCCUCUGCCGCGUGUAAUGUCCUGGGCCCGCACCUUUGAUUCUCUUAUGGGCCCUGCUGCUGCUAUGCAUGUACCUCGUCAAUUACAGCUGCCAUUUCUUGAGCCCAUUAUGAUCCCCAAGCGAUCCUGGGAUGUGGCUUUCGAUGCUGAUGCUCCAGGACCUUCCAUGUCGGAGCCUGCUAGUGCCUCUCUCCCACUGCAGGAGGUAAUCCCACUUAGUCCUUCUUCAUCAUCAGAAGACUUAUCUUUUCGUUCUCUUGCUCCAUCCAAGAAGGGGACCCGCAAGAAGGCCACCCGAGUGGUUGACUCCUCGGCAAGACGGUGUACUCGUGGCUCCAUCCAGCAUGACGGCUUCAAGCCAAUCCUGCAAGAGCUGCCUGCACAUGUCCCCAAGAAGAGGAAGCCCAAGGCCAAGCCAAUGUCCUCUACAUCUCAUGAGACUGAAGAUGUUCAAGUACCUCCUGCCACUCCCAUCCCAGUGAUUCAGGAGGUGGGACAGUCACUCGGCAUAGCCCCUAAGAAGCUCACGGUGGAUCGACUUAUGGAAGAUCCUGCUAACUCUGCGCCAUCAUCUUCUGGUGUUUAAUCCAUCUAUGUUUAUCUAUUACUGUACUGGUUCUAUGUACUGUCGAACUUCUGCUUGCGAUGUCUUUUGGUUUUCGGAACCUUGGUUGCACUGGCUAUUACAUAGCCUUGCUUUUGCCAUAUAUAUGAUCUGCAAUGGAUAGUCGUUCCAUGAGAAGUUGGCGUGUGCUGUGUUAGAACGUGCGUGGCCUAAAUUCGGAUCAUAGGCAACAGGCAGUCCGUAACAAGACUGAUGAGAGCCUAGCUGCUGUGGUCUGCUUGCAGGAAACAAAAAUGCAGUCCAUUGAGUUUCGCGCCGUUAAAGGUUUUUGCCCCAAACGCUUUGAUCAGUUUGCUUACUCCCCUUCCAGGGGUGCAUCAGGAGGGCUUAUCACCCUUUGGAACUCCUCCAUUCUCACUGGUCAUUUAGUGAAAUGCACCCCAUAUGGAUUGAUCAUCUCUUUUACCUCAAAUCACACGGGUGAAUCAUGGACUUUAGUUAAUGUCUAUGGGCCAUGUCAAGGAGAGGCCCGAGAUCUUUUUGUGAGCUGGCUUUACAAUCUUGAUAUCCCCACUUGGGCUAAUUGGUUGCUUCUUGGAGAUUUAAAUUUCAUUAGAUCUCCUGACAACAGAAACCUUCCUGGGGCUGAUGUGAAUGACAUGUUCAUCUUCAACGAAAUUAUUGGGCAUCUGGGAUUGCUGGAACUUCCCAUUAAAGGCAUAUCUUACACUUGGGAAGAGACUAACGCAUUAAGUAAGAUGACAUGAUGUAGAGGGAUAAACUCAAGCAAUAUGAUGAAAACCCCACCUUUUUAGCCUCAAUGGCAACAAUGCAAUACGUGCCUCGCUAGCCCUACUUUGUCACUGGGUGAGGACACCGCAAGAUUGAACCCAAAACUAAGCACUUCUCCCAUUGCAAGAAUUACCAAUCUAGUUGGCCAAACCAAACCAAUAACUCGAAGAGACUUGCUAAGAUAUGAAAUCAUGCAUAUAAGAAUUCAAAGAAGAUUCAAAUAAUAUUCAUAGAUAAUUUGAACAUAAACCCACAAUUCAUCGGAUCUCGACAAACGCACUACAAAAUAGUAUUACAUCGGACAGAUCUCCAUGAAGAUGAUGAAGAACAUGGCAUUGAAGAACAAACUGAGAGAAGAAGCCAUCUAGCUACUAGCUAUGGACCCGUAGGUCUGUGGUGAACUACUCACGCAUCAUCGGAGGGGCAAUGGAGUUGAUGUAGAUGCCCUCUGUGAUCAAUUCCCUCUCCAGCAGAUUAUCGGAAAAGGCUCCCAUAUGGGAUCUCACGGGAACACAGGCUCUCGGCGGCAGAAAAGUAUUUUUGUGGCUCUCUUUGGUAAUGGGGUAAUAUUUGGGAAUUUAUAGUCCAAGGAUUAGGGUAGGAGAGCUGCAGGGGGGGGCAACAAGCCAGGGGCACGCCCUGUAGGCUUGUCGCCUCCCGUGGAUCUCCUGCCUGCUUCGCCAAGUCUGAUGUAUGUCUUUUGGUCCAAGGAAAAUCAUUCUGGGGAUUUUAUUCUGUUUGGACUCCGUUUAAUAUUCCUUAUCUCCAAUACUCAAAAACAUGGAAAAACAUAAACUGGCACUAGUCUCUAGAUUAAUAGGUUAGUCCCAAAAAUAAUAUAAAAUAGCAUAUUAGUGCAUAUAAAACAUCCAGAACAUAUAAUAUAAUAGCAUGGAACAGUCAAAAAUUAUAGAUACGUUGGAGACGUAUCAAUCCACUACUUGUGGUAUUUUCCAUACCCGAGGUAAGUACCCGAACAUUGCCUUUUCCCAUGAUGAUACUAACAAGGAGUCCACUCGUUGGUGCCAUCCCUCAUGAUGGACAUCACAUGCAUCAUCCAUGCGGGCAUGUAAUGGUGUGCUCGAUGUUCGUGAAAACAACCCAUGGUCGUUCUUUCCGGCACGACCCCGUAUAGAGAGUGACCACGUCACUCCUGGAACUAGUAAUGCAGGUUCUCUGCUAGUAACAACCAAAGUGAUCAACAAAGCCCCGUCCUAUAAGGGGUAUCGUGGUUGCGCAUGUAAGGUUGGGAUGGUCAGCACAACUUAAAUCUAAUCUUUUUUCGGUAACACACACACAUCUUGGCUCGGUACACCAAUUCGUUCUCAAGUGGUUAUCUAACUCAACACCUUCUUCCUCGGGCAUCAGUGGCACCCAACGGGGUUUUCGAGAAGUCUUUGAAAUCAUAUCCUUUCCAUCGCUAUUGAUGUUUUCAUCCCAUUUGCGUAGCGUCUACAUAACACGCUAGCUAAUUCCCACCCAAACAACCCUCAUAGGAAGGUAUGGUCAUGCUGAGUGCAAGUAUCAAUGAGGAGUUAUCGGAGACAACCCACCAAGGUAGUCACCGAUUCAACAUGAUUCAAAUGCAAUGAAGUAAACUCCAUAUGACAUGCGUAAAAAUGGUUUCAAGUCAUGGUCAAGGGGCCGCUUCCUUGGCUCAACAAAGUCUCUGGGGUCUUCAAAGUCUCCUAUUCCAUCUCCUUCGACAACAACGCAAUCUAUCGUUGCGAUAAAAACGGGUAAAUAUAAAACAACAACAAAAUAGGGAAAAUAUAACACUCGUGUGAAAUACUAGGGUGAAUAUUAUCUUUGUAAAAAUCAUUAGGUUCACGUUUUGAAGUGUAAAAAUUAAUGAAAAGCAAUUUAACACACUCUCAAUAUAUGAAACACGGUUUUAAGUAAAAACACUGUAUAAAACGUUUUCCAUAAAUUGCAUAAGUGGCAUAAUCAAAUAUAUUGUAAUAUUACAUGAUUUUAGUAGGUGAAACAUUUGGAUUUGGACGAAUAUUGUUGUGCAUGGAAUUUUUGCAAAAACAAAAGAAAAAUAAAAAGAAAAAUGGGAUGUGUUUCCCUAGGCCAGAUCACCCAUAACUCGGCCGGCCUAGAGCUAGAGUGACGUAGGCGGCCAGGUGCACACGCACCGCCAGGUUUCAAACCUGACGGGCGGGGCCCGGUGGCAGAGAGAGAGAUGCGCGAGGAGGCGAGAGGUUGACGAACGGGCCCCUCAAGUUAGGGUCGUUGUCAACCCCUAGCCAUAGGGCCGCGAGAUCACUAGUGUCAGCAGAGAGCAUGGCAGCGGGACGCGAGGAUGGAAAUGGACCCAGGACAUCAUCGCCGCUCGGGGGGUGGUCGAAGGGACCACCGACGUGGCCUAAGUCACAAGUGGCUAGGAGGUCAGGUGGACUUGCUUCGAGAGUUGGUCGAAGUCAACGUCUCCAGCUGUAAAACGCACGAGAAUUUGGGGGAAAGAGUCACGGAGAUGAGAGAGGAUCGAGGGGAAGGACAACAGUGCCAGAGGGUGGCCGUACUCAUAGAUCACUGGAGCUCUGAUGCAGCGAAGCUUGGCUCGAUCCCGAGCACUCAUGCACUAGGGCUUGCUAGGGGAGUCCUGGUGUUCGAUUGGGGGUGAUAGAGAGAACCCUUAGGGGAGCAAUGAGCUCGGGGGUGCCUUUUAUAUGUUGCCCACGGUCAACCGUGGAUUUGGCCAUCGGAGUUGGGCGUAGAGGCGGUGCAGGCCACAGGAGGUGGCAUAGGUGAGUGUGCGGUGUCCCUAGGCAUGUCCUACGACCAGGGGGAGCAACAGAGGGAAAGGAGUUGUGCGUGCGUGCGAGGCCCGCAGUUGGCUGAGUGGCGGGGGUCGGCCGCGCGCUGCAGAUGGUGAGAGAGAGGGGGAGAGGCAGCUUCCGACAUGGCAGCAUUUCGCUAACGCCAAGGCAAAUCCAUUGGCGCAAGGGGAAGGGCUCGAGAUGGAUAGGGGAUGGGCAGGGUGUGAAUUCCACUCUCCACUUGCCCUGUAGCAUGCUCAAGAGCGCGUUUUGACCGGCAUGAUGACACCUUUGCCAUGUUCUGGCGCGUCCUCAAGUUUCCAUUAGCUACAAAGGGAUUAAACAAUGGGGGAAAGGGGAAUUGGCUGCCCCGGACCUUGCCAGGAGAGAUGGAAGGCUGAGAGGGGAAAGAAAAUGGCUUUCCAGAUGGUGCAAGUGGGAUUUCCUCCCUCAACCAUGGAGCCAUCUAUUGCGGUUGCUACUGGAGUGGGGGAGAGGGAUGUUGGAGCUAUUUUAAAGGUUUGAGGUCAAGGAGAAUCGAGGAGGAGGUGAAAACAUCGUUUUUACCAGUCCGACAAAAGGAGUUUGAUUUAGAUUUGGGCAAGAUAAUUUUACCCGCUUACUAUGAUAAGUAACAGUAUUCAAUGGUGGGUAAAAAUGAGAUGGAUCACAAGGUAUGAGCUCUUUUCAACCAUUUUAUAGAUCAACAGCAUCGGGUUUCUGUAGAUCUAGCUAAGAAAAUCUAUUCCCCCAAAUGCACAACCUGGUGUACCAUCAUUAUUUGGGAACUAGGAAACUCCUGCAAAAUUUGAGAGCAAUUGGAGAAAUUGGCAAUGUAGAGUUGCUCAAAUUUGUUUCAGGAUAGAGAGGGUUCAGGAAUAUUUUGGUGAAUCAAAUCAACUUGGAUUGAGAUGAAACUUGGCAACAUGAUCACAUAUAUGAUGUGUGACUUGCUAAAAUUAUCCUGGAAUUAUUUCAGAAUAUUUCUUAUAAAAAUAUUUCAAAUACUUGAAAUAGACACAAAGGGUUUUGGAGGGUCUUGUCCUAUAUUUUGAACAUGACCAAGGGUUGACACUCUUAUAUAUGGAAAAUAUAUGUCCAUUGAGUUUGCCUAAAUUUGCUCAAACAUUAUGAAAGCAAAAAAUUAUUUUUUCCCUAUAAAAGACCAUUUGUGGCCUCAGAAAAAGGUACUUUAUUAAAAUAGGAAAAAUUAUCAUUUAAGAUAAUAAUUUUGAGGUUUUGGGAAGUCUUUUUGGUAAUAGGAUCCAAAUAAAAUAUUUGGGGUAGGACCACUCUCCUAAUUUGAGGACUUGUAGUGCAUACCUCAAUUUAGGGGGUCUUUGAAAUCUUAAAUUAAUAAAAGCUUUUUGGCCAAAAUAAUAUUUCAUAAAAAUAGUUUUAGGUCCGAUACACAUGGUAUGAUCAUUGCACAAAAGUUUGGAUCUAGGAAAUGACUCUCGAGAGAAGGAGAAUUUUUGUGAAUAAAAACCCAAAUAGGGUAACAAGCAUAUAACAACCAAUUCAACCAUCACAAGCACAUAAAUCUUUUAACUAUUUCCAAAUUUUAUAAAAAUCAUAUUGUCGCAAAGUGGUACAAACAGAGGGUGUAACAGGUAGCUAGGUAUAUGCAUGCAUGGUGUAACAGUGUGGUGAAGCUAUAUGAUGUUGUAUAGUCUCAUGUAUUUCAAUUAUGAAAUAUCGGCUGCCAUAAUACAAAUAUAAAAUAUAUUGUGUUCUUGAUAUGAAAUAUCAAUUUGAUUACUAAAUGGAUUAAAAAUAAUAGGUAUAUUAGGCUGCUUAUUGGGUUUUUCUAUUGCAAACGGUUUCUCAUGCACCUCCAUGGGCGAUGACGUUAACAAACACACACAGUUUCUAGAAAGUUGGCAUGCUGGAUGAGUGAAGAAUAACACACAACUUCCAGGAAACAACUAUGCACGUUAUGUCACCUUGCAUGAAUGUUUGCACAUAAAAAAUGUGUGACGGACAACCAUUUGCCAAACAGUUUUUCUAGGCACCAUUUGUGAUGUAUUGAAGAGCGCAAACGAUAGAAUUAUAACUACUUUAUAUGAUCACCACCCCUAUCAUAGACGAUGCUAUGAAUACAAUUCUAUUUGAUGUACCAUACGAACAGAAACGUUCCUUUGGGGUUCACUAUCUGUGAAGCUAAGAACAUCUCACACGGUUUCUACAAUAUAUCUGUUUGUGAUGGCUAUUCCAAUCGGACACGAGCUCUUUUUGCAACACAGGUGUGAUCGGAGGAGGCAUCCCCGACGAUUUAUGUAUCUCAUGUGGGAGACCGCAAUCCCCCCCCCCAUCACACAGACAUGCAAGGGUAUCCAAAUCAUUCCGAUCACACACACAUGCAAGGCCAUGAUUUAAAAGUACGUCGAGGAAAGAUGGUAAACACUGUUUGUAUAGGAGUCGCUUGCACUAGUGAAUUCAUCUUUCAACUGAACAAAUUGAUGGGGAACACUUAUAAUAAAAAUACGCAUAGGUAUGAGGUUUUAAUUCUUACAAACAUGUAUUUGUGUUAGGACCAUAUAUGAUUUGUGUUCUGGAAGUCACCCAUAAUUUUCUUGUUCAAACCGAAGUGGGGGAUGUGUCAAAAUUAUGUCUUGAUUAGCACGAGUCGUGGAUCAAGAGUCAUUAUCCCAACUGAAGGCCCUAUCCGUCUUAUGGGGUUGCCUUGAUAAUUAAGAUUGCAAAAAGUAGACAAAAGCUUUGGGCGUUUAAUAACUACACCUCUUGAAUCCCCAUAGAUAGGAUUAGUGUUACCUUACUAAACCUUUCUGUCACUCGUGUUCAGAAUAACACUUCUCGGUCUCCUUGGCCUUAUCCUUUGUGUGGCUCGCUCGCCAUGAUCCUGGGUACCUACAGGGAUGAAGAACGCACACGACACAACAUACAUAUACAAAACAAUUUGAUAUCACACAGACGAGAAAUUAAUUCGAAGCCCUUCCAUUGACCCCCACAAAAAUAUAGAGGGUCGUUAGCCUCUUGUCUCAACCCAUACCUUACUGAACUACUCACACCUGUAGAUCAGAUCACUUGCAGAACACAUCACAAAGGUAGACUGAUUAAUGUGUUGCAAUGUAUGCCCUAUGCGAUGCAAGAUUAAAGUAAGAUCUAGUGGAGGAAGAAAUGUGGUGAUUAUGGUGGCUAUGCAGAUGGAAAUGGCGGUGGCUAGGGUUGAUGGAGAUGGAUGAGGAUAAAUCUGUUCUCGUUCUUCUUGCGGAUGUUGUGCUGACAUUUUGGCUUCACCCCAUUAUAAAAGUUAUUCAGGUGGAUGAGUGGCCUCGGUUUCCACGUCAUAUGACCGCUCAUGCGAGCGAUUGCGGUCGCAUGAAACACCGCCUGGUGCUAUUUCUCCGGGAGUGCCUCCUCUUGAUUUCUUCUAUCUCCUCCUUUAGCCCUUUCCAUGUUCAAACUCGACUUCACCCAUACUUAGUCCAUUUCGUGUAGAAACUCAAUAAAGAGAGGAUUUCUAGAACCCUCAACAUUGAUUAGUCAUUGGUGCCAAUAUCAGAGUGAAUAUCUUGAUUUUAAUGAAAUAUUUUGAUUUAAACAAAGUGUAGAGGAGUGUUAAAAUAUCACGUAUCAUUCUACAUCAUACAUGAAAGAAAGGCAUGAAGCAUACACUGAUGUAUUAGACUAUGCAUUGUUUGACUGUAUUGAAAGGUUCUUCUCUACUUGGACUUCCUUUCAUGAAUUCGGAUGGUUAAAGAAAUUUAUUUAGGUAACUAAUAUCCCCAUCCACAUGUACAUUAUGUUGUUUAUGUUUAUGUGCGAAACGCAUGUGUUGGUUCCAAUGAUGCGAAAUAGAGGGAAGAUUUAGGAAUCACAUCUCUCAUGAUAGCACUGUAUUUUGAAUGAAGUGAAGUAAAGUAGAAUUUAAAUAAGUUUACAUGUAAUGUUAAAAUUUCUUACCGAUUACUUUAACGUUUACUAUGUUCCUGACAUUGCUGAUUUUUUUUUAUUUCUGCGGUACACUAUUCCUAUUUCAUGACUUCUAAUGUUAUGACAUUCGAUGAAACUGGACUGCAAUAAAGUGAAGAUCCAUUUAUGUCUUCUAAAAAUGAUUGAGAGAUUAUAGUUUGAUGUCAUUAUCUAUGAAUUAAACAAUUACUAUUUCUAAUAAGGAUUAUGGUGAUGUGUUUUCACGUCUAUGAUUUGCAUUGAAGAUUUUAGUUAUGUGUAAUGGUCCUAUAGUACAAUGAUAAUUGGAAUAGCAUUAUAUUCAUGACGUUAAAGUAAUGAGUUCAAACACAUCAUAUUAUUUGAUCUUGUUACCAUGGUGGUCUAUUUACCUAUUUGUACCACUAACUCAAUAUAUUUUACAAGUGUUAAGUUUACGAUAGAGUAAAGUAUGUAUCAUAAUAUAUGUUGAAUCUUCAUUAUUUAGUACUUCUAAAACACAAUGGAAAUGUUGGAAAUAUGCCCUAGAGGCAAUAAUAAAUUGGUUAUUAUUAUGUUUCCUUGUUUAUGAUAAUCGUUUAUUAUCCAUGCUAGAAUUGUAUUGAUUGGAAACUCAAAUACAUGUAUGGAUACAUAGACAACACACUGUCCCUAGUUAUCCUCUAGUUGACUAGCUCGUUGAUCAAACAUGGUCAAGUUUUCCUGGCCAUAGACAAGUGUUGUCACUUGAUAACGGGAUCACAUCAUUAGGAGAAUGAUGUGAUGGACAAGACCCAAACUUUAAACGUUGCAUAUGAUCGUGUCAGUUUAUUGCUACUGUUUUUUGCAUGUCAAUGUAUCUGUUCCUAUGACCAUGAGAUCAUGCAACUCCCAGACACCGGAGGAAUACCUUGUGUGUAUCAAAUGUCACAACAAAACUAGGUGACUGUAAAGGUGCUCUACAGGUAUCUCCGAAGGUGUCUGUUGUGUUGGCGUGAAUCGAGACUGGGAUUUGUCACUCCGUGUGAUGUAGAGGUAUCUCAGGGCCCACACGAUAAUACAACAUCACAAUAAUCCUUGCAAGCAAUGUGACAAAGGAUUUAGUCAUAGGAUCUUGUAUUACGGAACGAGUAAACAGACUUUCCGGUAACGAGAUUGAACUAGGUAUGGAGAUACCAACGAUCGAAUCUCGGGCAAGUAACAUAUUGAUGGACAAAGGGAACUGCAUACGGGUUUGAUUGAAUCCGUGACAUCAUGGUUCGAUCGAUAAAGAUCUUCGUAGAAUAUGUAGGAACCAAUAUGGGCAUCUAGGUCCUGCUAUUGGUUAUUCACCGUAGAGGUGUCUCGGUCAUGUGUGCAUAGUUCUCGAACCCGCAGAGUUUGCACACUUAACGGUCGGUGACGCUAGAGUAAUACUGGGAUAUAUAUGUUGGUGACAGAAUGUUGUUCGGAGUUCCGGAUGAGACCUCAGACAUCAUGAGGAGCUCCGGAAUGGUCCGAAGGUAAAGAUUUAUAUAUGGGAAGUCCUAUUUUGUCUACAGGAGAAGUUUCGGGUUUUAUCGGUAUUGUACUAAGAAGCUUCUGGAAGGUUCCAGAAGGUUCCAGAGGGUUCCGGAUGAUUCCAGACGGGUUCCUCCCACCCCUAGGACGUGCAUGGGAUGUAAGGAGGCUUUCAAGCCUUGUUGGGCCAGCCCCCAAGGGGCCAUGCGAUUGGGAGGGAAGAGUCCCUAAAGGGGAAGGCACCUCCUAGGUGCCUUGCGGAGGGAGGAAACCUCCCUCGACCCACACCCCCUCCUUGGAGGAGGGGCUAGGGCUGCGACCCAACCCUCUUCCUAGCAACCUAUAUAUAGUGGGGCAGAGGGAGGGGCUGAACACAUCAAUUCCCAUGCCGCGGUGGCAACCCUACCUCUCCCAUAACUCUGUUUUCUCCUCAGAUCGGUUCCGGCAGCGCUUGGUGAAGCCUUAUUGGCACUGCUCCACCAUGCCCUCAUGCUGUUUGAGAUCCCAUAUACUUAUCCUUCCCCUCUUGCUAUAUCAAGAAGGAGGAGACUUCAUCGAGCCGUACGUGUUUUGAACUCAGAGGUGCGUCCGUUCGGUGCUAGAUCGGGAAGGAUCGUGAUGAGAUUGCGGGACGGAUCGUCAUGAGAUCGCGGGAUGGGCUGCGAUUUGGAUUGCGAAGAUGUUCAACUACAUCAACAGCGUUAUAUAUGCUUCCGCUUUGCGAUCUACAAGGGUAUGUAGAUUCACUCUCCCCUCUCGUAGAUGAUCAUCACCAUGGAUAGGUCUUGCGUGUGCGUAGGAAAUUUUUUGUUUCCCAUGCAACGUUCCCCAGCAGUGGCGUCAUGAGCUAGGUCUAUGCGUAGAUGACAUCUCGAGUAGAACACAAAGGAGUUUGUGGGUGUUGAUACUCAAUUUUCUGCCCUCCUUAGUGUUUUCUUGAUUCGGCGGCAUUGUUGGAUUGAAGCGUCCCGGACCAACAUUACUCGUACACUUACGAGAGACCGGUUUCAUCGACUAAUAUGCAACUUGUUGCAUAAAUAUGACUAGCGGGUGUCCAUUUCUUCAACUUUAGUUGAAUCGGAUUUGACCGAGGUGGUCCUCGGAGAAGGUUAAAUAGCAAUUUGCAUAUCACCGUUGUGGCUUUGCGUAAGUAAGAUGCAAUCAUACUAGAUACCCAUAACAUCCACGUAAAAUUUGCAACAACAAAUUAGAGGACGUCUAACUUGUUUUUGUAGGGUAUGCAUGUGAUGUGAUAUGGCCAAAGACAUGAUAUGAUAUAUUGGAUGUAUGAAAUGAUCAUGUUGUAAUAGUUAAAUAUCGACUUGCACGUCGAUCCUACGGCAACCGGCAGGAGCCAUAUGGUUGUCUUUAAUUAUUUUGCGCUUGGAGAUGCUUUGCUUUAUCGCUAGUAGUAGCUUUCGUAGUAACAACAUAGUUAAAUUUACAACCUCGAUGGCGGCACAAUGAUCGAGAUCAUGGUGUGGCGCCGGUGACGAUGGAGAUCAUGCAGGUGCUUUGGUGAUGGAGAUCAAGAAGCACAAGUUCAUGGUCAUAUCAUGUCACUUAUGAUUUGCAUGUGAUGUUGAUCCUUUUAUGCACCUUGUUUUGCUUAUAAGGUAAUCAUUAUAAGGUAAUCCCUCACUCAAAUUUCAAGAUAAAAUUGUGUUCUCCCCGAGUGUGCACCAUUGCGACAUUUCAUCGUUUCGAGGCACCACAUGAUGAUCGAGUGUGAUAGACUCUACGUUCACAUACAACAGGUGCAAAACAGUUGCACACGCGGAACACUUGGGUUAAACUUGACGAGCCUUGCAUGUACAGACAUGGCCUCGAAACACAACAGUUCAAAAGGUCGAGCAUGAGUCAUAUAGUGGAUAUCAUCAACAUGGAGAUGUUCACCAUUGAAUCUAAACUCAACUCACGUGAUGAUUGCACUUGAGUUAGUGAAUUUGGAUCAUGUACCACUCGAAUAACUAGAGGGAUGUCAAUUUGAGUGGGAGUUCUUAUGUAAUAUGAUUAAUUGAACUCAUUAUCAUGAACUUAGUCAAAAGGUAUUUGCAAAUUAUGUUGAUGCUAAACUCAAAUCGGACUGUUUUUGAUAUGUUUCUAGAGAAAAUUUAGUUGAAAGUUGAUAGUAGCAAUUAUGCGGACUAGGUCCGUAAACUGAGGAUUGUCCUCAUUGCUGCACAGAAGGCUUAUGUCCUUAAUGCACAACUUGGUGUGUUGAACCCUGAGAGACGUCUCUGGAUGUUGCGAACAUCUAACAUACACGUUUUUGAUUACUACGUGAUUGUUCAGUGUGUAAUGCUUAACAUCUUAGAAUUGAGGCGGCCAAGACAUUUUCAACGUCACGAAGCAUGUGAGAUGUUCCAAGAGCUGAAAUUCGUAUUUCAGGCUCGUGCCCGUGUUAAGAGGUAUGAGACCUCCGACAAGAUUCUUUGUCUACAAAAUAAGGGGGAAAAGCUCAAUCGUUGAGCAUGUGCUCAGAUUAUCUGAGUACUAAAAUCGAUUGAAUCGAGUGGGAGUUUAUCUUCCAAAUAAGAUAGUGAUUAACAUAGUUCUCCAAAGUCACUGCCACCAAGCUAUAGAGCUUCGUCAUGAACUAUAACAUAUCAGGGUUAGAGAUGAUGAUCCUUCAGCUAUUCGCGAUGUUUGACACCAUGAAGGUAGAAAUCAAGUACGAGCAUCAAAUGUUGAUGGUUAGUAAAACCACUAGUUUCGAGAAGGACAAGGGAAAGAAGGGAUACUCCAUGAAAGGCAAACCAGUUUCCGCUCUAGUGAAGAAACCCAAGGUUAAACCCAAAACCCGAGACUAAGUGCUUCUAUUAUGAGGGGAACGGUCACUCGAGCGGAACUACCCUAGUCACUUGGUAGAUGAGAAGGCUGGCAAAGUUGACAAGAGUAUAUUGGGUAUACAUGAUAUUGAUGUGUCCUAGUACUCCUAGUAGCACCAGGGUAUUAGAUAAAGGUUAGGUUGCUAAGUGAUAGUAACUCGAAAUAAAAGCUACGGAAUAAAAGGAUACUAGGAAGGUCUGUGUUGGAAGAAAUUUCAAGGUUGAUGUGAUCAAACAUCGCACGCUCCUUAUACUUUCGAGAUUAGCGUUGAACCUAAAUGUUGUUUGGUGUUUGCGUUGAGCAUGAACAUGAUUGAAUUGUGUUUAUUGCAAUAUGGUUAUUCAUUUAAAGAGAAUAAUGGUUAUUUUGUUUACUUGAAUAAUACCUUCAAUGGUCAUGCACCUAAUAUGAAUGGUUUAUUGAAUCUUGAUCAUAGUAUUACACGAUGCCAAAAGAUACAAAGUAGUAAUGAUAGUACCACUUACUUGUGGCACUCUCGCUUGAUUCAUAUUGGUGUAAAACGCAUGAAAAAGCUCCAUAGUGAUGGAUCUUUGGACUCACUCAUUUUUGAAUCGUUUGAGACAUGUGAACCAUGCCUAUUGGUGUAAACGCGUGAAGAAACUCCAUGCAGUUGGAUCAUUUGUACUCACUUGAUUUUAAAUCACUUGAAACAUGCAAAUCAGGCCACAUGGGCAAGACGACUAAGGCCUCGUUUUCCAGUGAGAAGGAACAAGAAAGUAACUUAUUGGAAGUAAUACAUUUUGAUGUAUGCAGUCCAAUUAGUGUUGAGGCACGCAGUGGAUAUCGUUAUGUUCUUACUUCACAAAUGAUUUGAUCAGAUACUAGUAUAUUUACUUGAUGAAACACAAGUAUGAAUUAUUGAAAGGUUAAAGUAAUUUUAGAGUGAAGUUGAAGGUCGUCGUGACAACAGGAUAAAAUAUCUACGAUAUGAUCGUAGAGAUGAAUAUCUGAGUUGCGAGUUUGGUACACAAUUAAGACAAUGUGGAAAUUCUUUUACAACUAAUGCCACCUGGAACACCAUGGUGUGAUGGUGUGUCCGAACGUCAUAGUCGCGGCCUAUUGGAUGUGGUGCAUACUAUGAUGCCUCUUAUCGAAUUACGACUAUCAUUUUUCGGUUAGGCACUAGAGACAACCGCAUUCACUUUAAUUAGGGCACCACGUAAUUCCGUUGAGAUGACACCAUAUGAACUAUGGUUUGGGGAAACCUAAGUUGUCAUUUCGUAAAAGUUUGGGGCUAUGACGCUUAUGUGAAAAAGUUUCAACCUGAAAGAUCGAACCCAAAGCGGAUAAGUGCAUCUUCAUAGGGCACCCAAAACACUUGGGUAUAGCUCCUAUCUCAGAUCCUGAAGCAAAGUGUUUGUUUCUAGAAAUGGGUCGUUUAUCGAGAAAAAGUUUCUCUUCAAAGAAUUGAGUGGGAGGAUGAUGGAACUUGAUGAGGUUAUUGAACCGUCACUUCAACCAGUGUGUAGCAGGGCGCGAGAAGUUGUUCCUGUGGCGCCUACACCAAUUGAAGUGGAAGCUGAUGAUAGUGAUCAUGAAGCUUCAGGAUCAAGUUACUACAAACCUCAUAGGUCAACAUGGUCACGUACUGCUCCAGGGUGGUACGAUAACCCUGUCUUACAGGUCAUGUUGUUGGACAAUAAUGAACCUACGAGCUAUGCAGAAGCGAUCGUGGGCCUGGUUUCUGAUGAAUGGCUGGAUGCCAUGAAAUCCGAGGUAGGAUCCAUGUAUGAAAACAAAGUGUAGACUUUGGAAGAACUACUUAAUGGUUGUAAGACUGUUAAGUACAGAUGGAUCUUUAAAAGGAAGACACACGAUGAUGGUGAAAAGUCACUAUUAAGAAAGCUCGACUUGUUGCAAAGAUGUUUCUGACAAAUUCAAAGAGUUUACUAUGAUGAGACUUUCUGACUCGUAGCGUUGUUGAAAGGUCUAUUGGAAUUAUGUUAGCACUUGCUGCAUUAUUUAUGAAAUCUUGCAGAUAGGAUAUCAAAACAUUGUUUUCUCGAAGGUUUCCUUGACGAAAGGUUGUAUGUGAUACAACCAGAAUGUUUCGUCAAUCCUAAGGAUGCUAACAAGCAUGCAAGCUCCAUUGAUCCUUAUAUGGAUUAGAGCAAGCAUCUCGGAGUUGGAAUAUACACUUUGAUGAGAUGAUCAAAGCUUUUGGGUUUAUACAAGGUUUAUGAGAAACUUGUACUUCCAAAGAAGUGAGUGUGAGCACUAUAGAAUUUCUGAUGGGUAUAUCUGGUUGACAUAUUGUUGAACGUAAUGAUGUAGAAUUUCUGGAAAGCAUAUAGGGUUGUUUGAAAAGUGUUUUUCAAAGGAAAACCUGGAUUAAGCUACUUGAAUAUUGAGCGUCAAGAUCUAUAGAGAUAGAUCAAGAUGCUUGAUAAAACUUUUAAUGAAAUGCAUGCCUUGACAAGUUUUUUUGAAGGAGUUCAAAAUAGAUCAGCAAAGAAGGAAUUCUUGGCUGUGUUGUAAGGUGUGAAUUUGAGUAAGACUCAAAUCCCAACCACGGCAGAAGAAAGAGGAAGGACGAAGGUCGUCCCCUAUGCCUUAGCCGAAGGAUCUAAAGUAUGCCAUGCUGUGUACCGCACCUGAUAUGUGCCUUGCCAUGAGUGUAUCAAGGGGUGCAAAGAGUGAUCCAAGACUGAAUCGCUGAAAAGCGGUCAAAGUUAUCCUUAGUAACUAGUGGACUAAGGAUUUUUUCUCGAUUAUGGAGGUGAUUAAAGGUAUCGUCGUAAAGAGUUACGUCGAUUGAAGCUUUCACACUAAUCUGAAUAACUCAAAGUAGUAAACCGGAUUCUUAUAGUGGAGCAGUCAUUUGGAAAAGUUCCAAAUAGCGCGUGGUAGCAGCAUCUAUAGGAUGACAUAGAGAUUUUUAAAGCACACACCGAUCUGAAAGGUUCAGACCCGUUGACUAAAACCUCUCUCAGAAGAAAGACAUGAUCAAUCCCGAGAACUGUAUGGGUGUUAGAUUCAUUACAAUCACAUAGUGAUGUGAACUAGAUUAUUGACUCUAGUGCAAGUGGGAGCUGUUGGAAAUAUGCCCUAGAGGAAACAAUAAAUUGGUUAUUAUUAUAUUUCCUUGUUCAUGAUAAUCGUUUAUUAUCCAUGCUAGAAUUGUAUUGAUUGGAAACUCAAAUACAUGUGUGGAUACAUAGACAACACACUGUCCCUAGUGAGCCUCUAGUUGGCUAGCUCGUUGAUCAAAGAUGGUCAACGUUUCCUGGCCAUAGACGAGUGUUGUCACUUGAUAAUGGGAUCACAUCAUUAGGAGAAUGAUUUUAUGGACAAGACCCAAACAAUAAAUGUAGCAUAUGAUCGUGUCAGUUUAUUGCUACUGUUUUCUGCAUGUCAAUAUAUGUGUUCCUAUGACUAUGAGAUCAUGCACCUCCCGGACACCGGAGGAAUACCUUGUGUGUAUCAAAUGUCACAACGUAAUUGGGUGACUGUAAAGGUGCUCUACAGGUAUCUCCGAAGGUGUCUAUUGGGUUGGCGUGAAUCGAGACUGGAUUUGUCACUCCGUGUGAUGGAGACGUAUCUGAGGGCCCACUCUGUAAUACAUCAUCACAAUAAGCCUUGCAAGCAAUAUGACUAAGGAGUUAGUCACGAGAUCUUGUAUUACGGAAUGAGUAAAGAGACUUGCCGAUAAAGAGAUUGAACUAGGUAUGGAGAUAUCGACGAUCGAAUCUCGGCCAAGUAACAUGCCGAUGGACAAAGGGAACUGCAUACGGGAUUGAUUGAAUCAUUAACAUCGUGGUUCGACCGAUAAAGAUCUUCGUAGAAUAUGUAGGAACCAAUACGGGCAUCCAGGUCCCGCUAUUGGUAAUUGGACGUAGAGGUUUCUCGGUCAUGUCUACAUAGUUCUCGAACCCGCAGGGUCUGCACACUUAAUGUUCGGUGACAUUAGAGUAGUAUUGGGCCAUGUAUGUUGGUUACCGAAUGUUGUUCGGAGUCCUGGAUGAAAUCUGGGAUGUCAUGAGGAGCUCCGGAAUGGUCCCGAGGUAAAGAUUUAUAUACGUGAAGUCCUAUUUUGGCUACCGUUAGAGUUUCGGGUUUUAUCGGUAUUGUACCGGGAAGCUUGUGGAAGGUUCCAAAAGGUUCCAGAGGGUUCCGAAGGAGUCCGGAAGGGUCCCUCCAGCCCCUAGGACGUGCAUGGGUUGUAAGGAGGCGUCCAAGCUUUGUUGGGCCAGCCUCCAAGGGCCCAAGCGGUUGGGAGGGAAGAGUUCCUAAAGGGGAAGGCACCUCUUAGGUGCCUUGGGAAGGGAGGAAACCUCCCUAGGCCCACGCCCCCUCCUUUGAGGAGGGGCUAGGGCUGCGACCAAACCGUCCUCCUAGCGCCCUAUAUAUAGCACGGGAGAGGGAUGGGCUUAACACAUCUAAUCCCAUGCCCCGGUGUGUAACAUCCCAAACUUUGGAAUGUUAAUAUAAUUGUUAGAAUGAUUGUUUGUUUGUUCGUGUGAUUGAAACUUGAGUGGUGUUUGAAACUUGUCAAAAAAACUUUUGAAUGAGAGGGAAUAAAAUGAUUUUCCCCUUCUCCGAUGAAUUCAAAUUCAUCCAUUUAAAUUCAAUGAGAGAAGAUGACAUGACUUCUUCAAAUUUUAAAGAUUUUGAAUGAAGGUGGAAUUUGAAUUUCUUUCAAUUGUUAUUUUGCAAAUUCGUUUUCUACUUCACUCACGGAGUGCCCGCAUUAUUAUCUUGCCAAGCAAGAAAGAGUGGAGGAACAUGACCCUUCAAACCAGGGGCAUUUAUUCGAAGUAUUUGAAUCAUAAAACCUAGGGUUUAUUUGAAAAUUAUGCAAAAAUAAAUAAAACAUUUAGGGGAUUUUCUGAAAAACAUUUUUUUAAGUUUUUAUUUUGGCCGUGUAAAAAUGUCCAUCAUUUCGAUUUUAUUUUUCUGAUAAUUUUAGUAUAUAAAAACUAUUUAUUUCGAAUUUAUUUGGUUUCCUUUUUAAUCAUUUACUUUCCGGUUUUUGAGAAUAGGCAAGAAAUCUCUUUUAUUUGGAAACUCUUGCUGGCCCAUUAAGAGGUUUCCUACUUUGGCCCAACAGAGGAUCUUCUUCUUCCUUUGUCUCUUCCUCACGUUCCAUGAACCUUCCAUCAAUGGAGGAAGGAACCCUCACCUUCCCGAUCUCCCUCUCCCUUCCAUCCCGGCGCCUCCCGAGACCCUCUAUUUAAAGCCCCGAUCAUCCUCGUUCCAUUUUCCCCCUCACCACGACCUCUCCCUGCCCGCAGUCACCUCGCCACCACCCUCCACUUCCCUGCCUCACCGAGCUUAACAUGAGUUUCCCAAGCGCCCAGGCUCCCUGCCGAGCCCUCCUCUGGUACUCCAUGUCGCUCCCUACACCAACCUGCAGCACCCCAUCGCCCCCCUCGCCGAAGCAGCCCGACCUCGUCGACCAACCUCCGAGCCACGGCCAACCUUCCAGCCACAGUGAGCUUCUAAAAAAUCCUGUCACAGUUUUUUUCUUCAGAAAAGUGCAAACUUAGAAAAUUCAUAUCUAUUAGUCUAUAACUCCAAAUUAGGUGAUUCGUUUUGCGUUAGAUCACAAUUUUAUUGUAGUUUCCGAAAAUAUAUAAUUUGUCUAGGUUUGGAUUUAUAAAAUUUGAAUUAGAUCAGAUUUGAUUUAAAUCUUGUUUUGCUUAUACCGGGAGUUUAACAAUAGCUUUUAAAUUAAUUCCUUUUUCUACUAUUUCCUAUUGAUCAUAUCUUUCAGUAGUUUAAGUUUCAAUUUUUUUUAAAUAGUUUUACUUUGGGUUUUUACCAAAACAGAGUAUGUUUUAGUUUUUUUAGGAUUAUGGCUAUUUCUUUUUCUAUAAUUGUUUUUAAUGUAGUAGAAGACUCCCUAGUCUUAUUUGAAGUUUCUUUCGGAUUCUUAUUCGCUCUCUCUUAUUGUUUUGAUUGCUAGAAUGAUUGCUAGUAUGAGUGCUUAUGUGAAUGAUAUGUUUGUUAUAUAGAUUUCAUCGGAGAGUGACGAAUAGUCUAUCAAGUUAUUUCUUGAGAAACAAUAAUUCUUCUUCGUCAACAUUACUAGGCAAGUCAUUUGAUCAUGUAUCACCUAUGUUUUAUGCAUCGUAGUUCUACCAUCCUAUGCCCAAUUGGAUGCUGAGUAGGUACUUGGAAAUUAGGGUUACAUAUUGUAGUAUCAUGUGGUAGGCACCCAACAACCCUGUUACUAGGCUCCGGGACGACAAAUUUCAUAUUGCUAUGCUUGAGUAGACGGGAUUCUGGUUGAGAGUUUAUCACGAGUGAUUCGAGAAUAAUUUAAUAACCAAGACCGGUUAAGUCAAGACUUUUCAAGACCUCAUGAUGCAAUGCAACUCUGGGUGAAGGACGGUUGAUCGGCUCCCUGGAGAAACCAGUGGAUGACCCGGGAUGCUGGAGACGUGCCAUGACAUCUUGCGGAAAGCUUCACCCAGGCUCAAAGAGAUGGACGGAUAUUUUAAAGACCCAAGGCUUACCUGCACAGCCAUAAGUCAUUAUGGGCUCUGGCUUGGUUGGACAACGUGGCGACUCUGGACAGGCGGUGCUAGCAGAUGUAGAAGAACGGUAGGAUUGGAUGGGCACCGACAGGGAUUCAGAGGGACCCGUUGAAAGACCAUGUUUUGAUCAUCCAGUCUUCAAACACCCUGAAGUGCGAGGACAUACACGGAGGCGAUCAAAUCUUGUGGGGAACGUGUGCAAAACACUGCAGAGUACUCAAACCUAAUCGAUUAGCCGUGUCCACGGUCAUGGACAACUUGAGUCAAAGGAACUGAAGUUAUCUGAAAUUUUCAACACAAAUAAUAAUAUUGAUGUGGGUAUUAUUGACAACAUGGGUACGAGAAUUGGUUGGUGGAACCAUCUCGUUAACAACCAACAACGUAGUAACAUUUUUCUUUUAGCCCUCUCUUGAUGUAGGAGAAAACCUUGCUUUUUGCUAAAAACUUACAGCCCCACCUGCCAUAUAUGCAUAUAGAAUAGAUGAUUACUAUUUUACCCCCUCUCUUAUGUGACUUGCCAGCAUAUUCAAUAUGCUGACCUACACGGCUGCAACGUCUUAUGUUGCAGAUAUUUUCCUCGACGAGUAAGAGUACGAUUCAGGGUUACGGUCCGCACUCAACUUGCCGUUGGUGUUUAUUGGGACUCCACUCCCUUGACUGUUUCCGCUGAAAUAUUGAAGGUAUAUAUCAGUUUUACGCUAUUCCCAUGUGAUUGCACUUUGAUAUAUACAUUGAUGUACUGUGUGUGCCAGCAUACUGAUCCAGGGAUGGCACAGAUACACAGAGGCUUGACUCGUUUUGAGUCGGGUCGCUACAGAAAUGGUAUCAGAGCACAUGUUGACUGUAGGACGUGACCCUAGAAACUGGAAAUUUCUUAGGAAAGGAUCUCUCAAAAUUUUUAUUUUCAACAACACCUUUUACUUCUCAUCUCUUCUGAUUUCAUCGAAUGUUCCCUCUCACCUCAGAUAGUUAGACAAUACCCUUACCCCUUUGACCACAUGAAGAAUCAACGGAGUUCUACUUCAAAAUAAAGAGGAUUUGACCAUGCAUUUGAAGAAUUGAAGCUACACCCACUGAAGACUCUUAAGACCCGAAGAAUUCAAAGACCCUGAAACGUUCGAAUAUUUAUAUGACCAUUAGAAGUCCAAACCCCUCUUAUAUACCCAUGUUAGUUACGAUGAUUUGUGAGCCGUCAUUGGUGUGUGUUUUCCGACAGCCACAAAUAAAACAUAUUCUAAAAAAAAUAUUGUUUGUAUUGUGUGUAUCUCCCUCUCUCUUACCCGUCUCAUCCCCAAAACCUCAACCCUACCAGAUGGAGUAUGAAGCUGGACUUGUAGUCUCUGGACCAAUGACCCAGCUGGAGGCUGAUAUAUGGAUUCAAAACAUGGAGAACCACUUCGGGAGCAACUUGAUCUCAAGGAAGUAUGAAGUGGAACACGCUCUUCAGUACUUUACACAAAGUGCUGCAAUCUGGUGGAAAAUGCACCAUGCCAUACAAGGAUUUAGUGGAGCAGAAACUUGGGUCGAAUUCAAGAACACUCUGUUAAGAUCCCGACUUAUUCAGAAGUGCUAUGAUAAUCCGAAGGAGAAGACUUAUGCAUGCAAGAUAUGUGGAGAAAUAGGACACACCCAGGAAGAACACAAGGAUGGAUGCACUCAUUGUGAAGAAAAUCACCCAGCUGUGGAGUGCCCAAGUAGUCAGGUGACUUGUUUCCUUUGUGAAGGGACUACCCACUACCCAGCUCAGUGUCACAUUUACCCCAAGGUACAACAAGUUGUCCAGCAGCAGAAAGAAGCAAUGAAGGAAACACUCAAGAAGAAGAUUCUAGAAGAGUCGAUGAUGAACGAAAAUAUUGAAGACCUGAUGGACAAGGUCUGACCAGAUUUUUCUCCAAUGCAUGCUACUCCUGUGGAGAAGAAGGACAUUAUUCACAGGAUUGCACGAAGGGAAGCCAAGAGUAUCUGGGAAACUUCCCGACGGAAAAAGUGGAGUUUGAUCCACUUGAAAUAGAAGAACUGGCCAAAAUAAAGGAGUCCGGAAAGAAAAAAGGUACCCUCGGAAGAGCCAAACCUCUGCAGAUAUAGACCUGAGUCAUGUCAGAUGUUACAAGUGUAUGGAAUUUGGCCACCACAAAUACAUGUGCUUAGGAAGGAAGCCAGAAACCCAAGGAGGAAAAGCAAACACUAAGACGCCUCGAGACUGGUCAGAAGUCAUUUGCUUUCGUUGCAAGGAAGCAGGACAUUUUUCUAAUGAUUGUCCACAAAGGAACAAAGCUAAAAAGGAGUAGUUAAGUUUUGACCGCGGCAAUUAGUGUAAUCUGAAGAACUCUUGUUUUUCAUGAGAUUAUGGAGUGAAAUUUUUUGUAACAGAAAUUCCUGAGAUUGUAAUAACAUCAUGAAUAAAUGGAAUUUAUUGUCUCAUGAUUGCCUAUGUUGAAACUAUAUACGUUGUUUCUCUUUGAACAAAGAUCUCUGAACAAUUAUGAGGAUAUGAGAAAAUAUGGUCUAUGCAAGCAUGAGUAUAAUUCAUUUUAAGUGUGGUAGUAAUCGGUAAAACCACAGGAUCCACUGAGUAGGAAUGUACCAUAACUACCAAGGAGACAUAUACAUUCCUCUAAGUACCUAUUUACUGACACCUGCAGAUGACAACGCUCUACGAGUCAUUCCUCAAGGGCCCAGAAACGAUCAUGACCCUGGCCAGUGAUCAUGAUUACCCGAAAAUCCUGAAGUACAGGAUGAAGCACAUUCAUCUUGAAGGAGAUGCAGUCUACAAAGGCUACCCAUUCAUGGAAAGUGGAGUAGAACUUUGGUAUGUGGAAGUACACCUCCACCAUGUGAAAGGAGUUUGUCCAAAGACUAUGGGGCAAUACUUUUUCAUUUCACGUGUACCACGAGCAACCUUCUUUGAUGCUGUUCGUGAAGCUGCCAUGGAAGCCAUACAUUAGAUUGGAGAAAUACUUGAAGCAAGACUCCGUCAUACCCAGGAAUACCUGAGUGAGGUACGUGCGGAGAUGAUGGAGAUGAAGCUCAUGGCCACCAUGAGAAAGCAAAAGAUGGAUGAUUUCAAGGAGCACCUCGGAAAGUUUUAGUGGAACUAAAGUACCUCCAAGAGAGACAGAUGAAUAAAGUUGGCAGAAAUGCUUGACCAUACCGAACAAUGUGGAUGGCAGCAUUUGUAAUAAAUUACUUUUGAGUUAGAAUUUUGAAGAAAGUAAGGAUGUAAUAAAGGAUUGUUUAUGAAAUGAGUAUGAUUUAUGGAUGAACCAAUACCUUUUCAUGGUAAACACACCAAUGGAAAGUAUCCCACAGAGUGGAGCGUGUACCAAAAAUAAGUCUGAGGACUAUUUUUAUGAUAGUUACCCCAAGAGUAUGAUGGAAUGAAACACUAUGGAAUUUAAAGGCAGUGUAAUUCCAAGUAUGCCUGAAACCCACAGACCCGGGACUAACAAGGAUCAAGUACUAUCUUUUGGGAAAGGAAACUUGUAUCAGGAACAUUUCCCUAGGAGCAUACGAAAACCUGAGAGUUGUGAAGUUACGAUAGAUGUUUUGUUCAGCUUGGAGAAUCAUUGGAUUUAUCCGAACUUCGUUCGUGUACAAGAGAAAUUCUACAAUGCUUGUGAGGAUGCCCAAGUGUUAUAAUACGAGAUUCACUAAUACUUAUACAAGGUAAUGAUUUCUGUGCGACAUGGCUUGGCCACCAUGACGACUUACUCUUAUCAUUUAUCUUGCUAUUCGGAUUGGUAAAUCUGAGAGACAUACCCAUAGAGAGAGACGACGUUCUUUGAAGCUUUUGUUUAAGCCUUAGAAUGGUCUGCUGAAAGCCCCAUGUACAUGGCACUUGCUGUCAUGCGUAAGAAAUUUUAUGGUGAGGAUGAAACCAAGACCCCUCUCUCUUCAGGAUAACCACAAAUGGUAGACCACCAUGAGAACCAUCGAUAUGUUAUUUAGAAUUGACCACGAGACUGUCAGUUAAGAAGACCCAGUAAUGGAAGAAGCUUAUAUCAACAGAAGAACCCUCGUUUUAAUGGAAACGUUAUGAAUAUAACGGAAGAGCAUCACGAGAGGAGUUAGUAUGAAGACUGUGAGUAGUCAGAUGCCAAACCCCGAGAGGAAUUCUAAAAUUUUGAGGGACCAGUAAUUCUUAUUUUAAGUGUGGUAGCACCCCACUUUGCCGGAGGUUGGAUUUGUUAGAAGACCUCCAAACCCUAACCUUUCUUUCUAGCCCCUUCGAAUCACGAGGACGAGAUUCAUUUUAAGUGUGGUAGGUUUGUAACAUCCCAAAUUUGGAAUGUUAAUAUAAUUGUUAGAAUGAGUGUUUGUUUGUUUGAGUGAUUGAAACUUGAGUGGCGUUUGAAACUUUUCAAAAAAACUUUUGAAUGAGAGGGAAUAAAAUGAUUUUCCCCUUCUCCGAUGAAUUCAAAUUUAUCCAUUUAAAAUCAAUGAGAGAAGAUGACGUGACUUAUUCAAAUUUUAAAGAUUUUGAAUGAAGGUGGCAUUUGAAUUUCUUUCAAUUGUUGUUUUGCAAAUUCGUUUUUUGCUUCACUCACGGAGUGACCGGAUUAUUAUCUUCCCAAGCAAGAAAGAGUGGAGGAACAUGACCCUCCAAACCAGGGGCAUUUAUUAAAAGUAUUUGAAUCAUAAAACCCGAGGGUUUAUUUGAAAAUUAUUGCAAAAAUAAAUAAAACAUUUAGGGGAUUUUUUGAAAAACAUUUUUUUAAGUUUUUAUUUUGGCCGUGUAAAAAUGUCCAUCAUUUAGAUUUUAUUUUUCUGAUAAUUUUAGUAUAUAAAAACUAUUUAUUCCGAAUUUAUUUGGUUUCCUUUUUAAUCAUUUACUUUCCGGUUUUUGAAAAUAGGAAAGAAAUCUAUUUUAUUUGGAAACUCUUGCUGGCCCAUUAAGUGGUUUCCUACUUUGGCCCAAUAGAGGAUCUUCUUCUUCCUUUGUCUCUUCCUCACGUUCCANNNNNNNNNNNNNNNNNNNNNNNNNNNNNNNNNNNNNNNNNNNNNNNNNNNNNNNNNNNNNNNNNNNNNNNNNNNNNNNNNNNNNNNNNNNNNNNNNNNNNNNNNNNNNNNNNNNNNNNNNNNNNNNNNNNNNNNNNNNNNNNNNNNNNNNNNNNNNNNNNNNNNNNNNNNNNNNNNNNNNNNNNNNNNNNNNNNNNNNNNNNNNNNNNNNNNNNNNNNNNNNNNNNNNNNNNNNNNNNNNNNNNNNNNNNNNNNNNNNNNNNNNNNNNNNNNNNNNNNNNNNNNNNNNNNNNNNNNNNNNNNNNNNNNNNNNNNNNNNNNNNNNNNNNNNNNNNNNNNNNNNNNNNNNNNNNNNNNNNNNNNNNNNNNNNNNNNNNNNNNNNNNNNNNNNNNNNNNNNNNNNNNNNNNNNNNNNNNNNNNNNNNNNNNNNNNNNNNNNNNNNNNNNNNNNNNNNNNNNNNNNNNNNNNNNNNNNNNNNNNNNNNNNNNNNNNNNNNNNNNNNNNNNNNNNNNNNNNNNNNNNNNNNNNNNNNNNNNNNNNNNNNNNNNNNNNNNNNNNNNNNNNNNNNNNNNNNNNNNNNNNNNNNNNNNNNNNNNNNNNNNNNNNNNNNNNNNNNNNNNNNNNNNNNNNNNNNNNNNNNNNNNNNNNNNNNNNNNNNNNNNNNNNNNNNNNNNNNNNNNNNNNNNNNNNNNNNNNNNNNNNNNNNNNNNNNNNNNNNNNNNNNNNNNNNNNNNNNNNNNNNNNNNNNNNNNNNNNNNNNNNNNNNNNNNNNNNNNNNNNNNNNNNNNNNNNNNNNNNNNNNNNNNNNNNNNNNNNNNNNNNNNNNNNNNNNNNNNNNNNNNNNNNNNNNNNNNNNNNNNNNNNNNNNNNNNNNNNNNNNNNNNNNNNNNNNNNNNNNNNNNNNNNNNNNNNNNNNNNNNNNNNNNNNNNNNNNNNNNNNNNNNNNNNNNNNNNNNNNNNNNNNNNNNNNNNNNNNNNNNNNNNNNNNNNNNNNNNNNNNNNNNNNNNNNNNNNNNNNNNNNNNNNNNNNNNNNNNNNNNNNNNNNNNNNNNNNNNNNNNNNNNNNNNNNNNNNNNNNNNNNNNNNNNNNNNNNNNNNNNNNNNNNNNNNNNNNNNNNNNNNNNNNNNNNNNNNNNNNNNNNNNNNNNNNNNNNNNNNNNNNNNNNNNNNNNNNNNNNNNNNNNNNNNNNNNNNNNNNNNNNNNNNNNNNNNNNNNNNNNNNNNNNNNNNNNNNNNNNNNNNNNNNNNNNNNNNNNNNNNNNNNNNNNNNNNNNNNNNNNNNNNNNNNNNNNNNNNNNNNNNNNNNNNNNNNNNNNNNNNNNNNNNNNNNNNNNNNNNNNNNNNNNNNNNNNNNNNNNNNNNNNNNNNNNNNNNNNNNNNNNNNNNNNNNNNNNNNNNNNNGGGACCCGUUGAAAGAUCAUGUUUUGAUCAUCCGGUCUUCAAAGACCAUGAAGUGCGAGGACAUACACGGAGGCGAUCAAAUCUUGUGGGGAACGUGUGCAAAACUCUGCAGAGUACUCAAACCUAAUCGAUUAGCCGUGUCCAUGGUCAUGGACAACUUGAGCCAAAGGAACUGAAGUUAUCUGAAAUUCUCAACACAAAUAAUAAUAUUGAUGUGGGUAUUAUUGACAACAUGGGUACGAGAAUUGGUUGGCGGAACCAUCUCGUUAACAACCAACAAUGUAGUAACAUUUUUCUUUUAGCCCUCUCUUGAUGUAGGAGAAAACCUUGCUUUUCGCUAAAAACUUAUAGCCCCACCUGCCACGUAUGCAUAUAGAAUAGAUGAUUACUAUUUUACCCCCUCUCUUAUGUGACUUGCCAGCAUAUUCAAUAUGCCGACCUACACGGCUGCAACGUCUUAUGUUGCAGAUAUUUUCCUCGACGGGUAAGAGUUCGAUUCAGGGUUACGGUCCGCACUCAACUUGCCGUUGUUGUUUAUUGGGACUCCACUCCCUUGACUGUUUCUAUUGAAAUAUUUAAGGUAUAUAUCAGUUUUACACUAUUUCCAUGUGAUUGCAGUUUGAUAUAUACAUUGAUGUACUGUGUGUGCCAGCAUACUGAUCCAGGGAUGGCACAGAUACACAGAGGCUUGACUCGUUUUGAGUCGGAUCACUACAGAAAUGGUAUCAGAGCACAUGUUGAGUCAGGUAAGGCGCUACACGGUGGCAGCCCUACCUCUCCUAUAACUCCAUUUUCUCCUCAAAUCGGUUCUGGCGGCGCUUGGCAAAGCCCUACUGGCACUGCUCCACUAUCAUCUCCACCAUGCCGUCAUGCUGGUUGAGAUCCCAUCUACUUCUCCUUCCUCUCUUGCUGGAUCAAGAAGGAGGAUACGUCAUCGAGCCAUACGUGUGUUGAACACGGAGGUGACGUCCGUUCGGCGCUAGAUCGGGAAGGAUCUUGAUGAGAUUGCGGGACGGAUCGUGAUGAAAUCUCAGGACGGGUUGUGAUUUCGAUCGCGAAGAUGUUCCACUACAUCAGCCGUGUUAUAUACGCUUCUGCUUAGCGAUAUACAAGCGUAUGUAGAUUCACUCUCCCCUCCUGUAGAUGAUCAUCACCAUGGAUAGGUCUUGCGUGUGCGUAGGAAAUUAUACCGUUGUGUUAAUACUUUUUUACUCAAAUGACCUUAUAUGUUCACAAUAUAUGAAUCACUAACAAUGAGGUCUGCAUUAUCAUCCGUAUCCUAGAACUUUGUUAAGAUUGCCAGCUCUAUAAUAGCACAUAACUGUUGGACACACGAAAAUUAAUCAAUGGAGAAAAAAAUAAUAGGACAUGGGUGAGGAGUGCACCAAUGUAGACAUAUAGAUGGGGUCAUGUAGCAGAAUGGUGUAGUUAAAAUAACCAUUAAGCUGAAUCAAGACACGACUCACUUGUUAUUUUUGUUGAAUAACAACCUAUAGGAGGGUAGAUUUAUAUAAAUGUGUUGGCAAUAACAUACAAUACUAAUCUACCAUUCUUAAGAAGUUGCUUCCCACUACUCCCAAUUCUUUCACCAUGCAUAUUGUCCAUCUCAUCAUGGUGCCACAUCAGCGUUCAACUUCUGCACUUCAGCAACUCCCACCAUGCAAAAUACUUUACUUUUACCACUGUCUUCUCCACACCUGCAUGCACCACUAUUCAGCUCCUAUGCCCAUAAUGCACCGGAUGUAAACCACAGGUCUGCCAUGUUCCCUUUCUUCUGCUCCCUCUUGCGUUUGAGCAACCAACCAGCAUUCAAAAGUGUAGCAUAUAUAUGUUGCUUGACCUUUCGGUCAUGUUCCUCUUACAUCACCUUGCUUUUGCUGCACUUUGACAAAUCCAUAGCUCUUGCAAUGAAGCCAAUACCUCCUGCUAUAAGCAUGCAUCACUAGUGCAGAAUCAGGCAAUAGUUCCGGUUCGUAAGGACCUUUACUAUUGGUUCUGCAACCGACACUAAAGGGUCCCCCUUCAGUGCCAGAUCGUCACGAACCGGGACCAAACGCCCACCACGUGCCACGAUCCCGCGUCGGGGGGCUAGGGGCCUUUAGUCCCGGUUGGUUACACCAACUGGGACUAAAAGGUUUAGGAGUUUUGGGUUUAUGGUUUAUUUUUCCUUUUAAUUUUGUGUUUUCCAUUUAAUUAUUUUUCAUUUCAAACAUAUUUUUACAAUACUACAUAUUGUACACGUUACGCAUAUAUAAAAAUAGAAUUUAUCGUAGAACUGAUCAUAUAUAUAUCAUCGAAUUUCUUGCACAACCAUUCACACAUACACAUAUAUAUAUAAUUUCUCCUACAAUUUGCAGAUCGUUACAUGGAGGCAUUACAACUUGUAAUGGCAUUCUCCUUUGGGAUCUAUGACCUCGUCGUGAAAAAAUCCCGCUCUUUCCACUUGAAUUGCUCGUACGAGGUCCGUUGGUAGGAGUUGAUCCCGCUUUUGUUCCAUAUUUAUUAAAAAAGAAGAUAAAUAUGAAUAUAUUAACUAUGUGUAUAUAUAUUAGAUCAUGAUAAAAAGAAUUGUGAAUCGUGUUCUGAAAACGUACCCAAAGUUGUCUAUCACUUUUAGACCUCAUCAUGUGACUGUCCUCGCAAACGUAGUAUGCACAUAAAUUAUUCCCUGACACCUGCCUCAGUCACUUUACGAGAAUAGAAUUCAAUUAGGUAAUAAUUAAUCAAGCAUGAUAAUAGUAUUGAAACUAGAAUUACAGAGAUGGUAGCUAGCUAGUACCACUAAAUUAAUUACCCUGGGUCGCACCCAUUUCAGUUUUUGUUUCCAUGAGCCUUCAACUUGAUUGAUGAACUUUUCCCAAGCCCUGCCUGCUGGCAAAUAAAAUGAAUAAAGGAUUUAUUAAUUAGCUGAUAUCUCGAAAUGAACUAAAGAGGCAGACAUAUAAUUCGAUAAUGAUUGAAAUUACAUGUGGACCAUCCCACUCACGAUUGCGUAGUCUCGAUCGUCUAUAAGUAUUGAGUCAAGUACUAGAACUUUUCCCUUAUCAACUUCAAUGAUUAGUAGGAUCCAGUGAAAAAUGCAUGCGCACACGUUUGUAUAAUUAAGCGGGCAUGUGCAUAACUGAUCAACUACACUUAUUAAAAUCUAGUAAGCAAAAACAAAAUUGGUAGUACAAGACAGUGUCACUCAUCCGAAGUUGUAAGGAAGUAGUAUUUCUGGUUGGGUAUUUAGUCGCACCAAGAACUCUAGCAAGAUUUUCAUUUUGUCUUUUCGUUCCCAUUGAUGCGUCCAUGUCUCUUCAUAAAUGGUAUUUGGGUCAAUGAACCAAAUGCCAUAGCGUCCAACUUUUUUCAUUUCAUGCAUCUUCAUUCUACAUAAGACCAUAGAAAAGAACGACAUCACAUAGCUACUGAACAUGGACUCAUGGUCCAAGGAGGACUACUCACAACACGUCCGAGAAGUGUCCAUGGUGUCCCAGAGGUCGCUCCUCCCUCCGGCAGGGUGUCGAGAAGAGAUCUCCUGACGCUCCCGAUCUCAGAAGUGCUUCGGCGGUGGAACGAUCGAGAAAUUCACAAUUCCAGAAAGUCUCGGAGGGUUUCCUCUUGGGACUCUAAAUAUAUGUCAAAGGAGGGCAUCGGAGGAGGACGCCUGGGAAGGCCCUGGCCCUCCUUCGGUGAUCUGGAAGCUUCUGUUUCGCAGAUAUUUUAUAUAUUUUUUCUAGAUUUUUUUGGGCUUCGGAAAAUUGGGUAAAAGCCCCUGCAAAAUAGACAUCAACAGACAGAAACUGGCACUGGGUGCACUGAGUUAGUAGGUUAGUACAAAUAUGUGUAAAAUGAUAUAAAAGUGUAGCAAAACAUACAACAAUGUCACCCAAAAGAUCAUGGAACAAGAAGAAAUUAUAGAUACGUUUGGGACGUAUCAACAUCCCCAAGCUUAAUUUCUGCUCGUCCUCAAGUAGAUAAAUGAUAACACAAUAAUUUAUGUGGUGACAUGCUAACACACAUAUAAGAGGUUCAAAGUAAAGCAAAAUAUGCAAUUCAAGUCAAGACAAUAACAAGCAAGAGUCUAUAUAUAGUAUUGAGUUUAGCAAAGUAAGAACAUAAAGGUGCAAGAGCUCUCCUGGUUUGUGAAUCAAAUGUCUCCAAAUGGUGUUUGCGUGCAAGAAGUGGGAGAUGGGUUGAGAUAAUAAAAUAUUUUUUUAAUUGAGAACUCAAUCUUCUAAAAUUUCACAUUUGGUCUCCUUCGGAAUCUUAUUUUGACUCAUCCUUAGACCACUAGUCAGGAACAAAUCAAAAUGAUCCUCUCCCUUUCCACUUUGAGCACUGAUGCAAUGGAUGAGCGUAAGAAAGAUAUGUUUGCACUUCGGAUGGCAAAUAGAAUAAUGAUGGGGAAGGAAGAAAAAAAGGUGUCAAAGGCUCACAUCAAUGAGGACAACCAUAGGCGAGAGAAAGUAAAAUGAUAGAUAUGAUGUGAGGAGUAAGGAUUGCCAUGUAACGGAUGCACAUAUGAGCUAAGGUAAGUUCUGCAAUGGAACUAGUGGGGGUGCAUCCAACUUGUUUGCUCAUGAAGACCUAGAACUCAUUUGAGGAGGCUCAUCAUUGGAAUAUGCAAACCAAGUUCUAUAGUGUAAGGGUCGCCACAUAGUUAUGCAUGAAUGAUAAUCUCUACGUAGUACCAAUAUAUCAAUGGAAUACGAGUGUGGAUCUUCAAAAGGAAUAGUAGUGCUGCCCCCUUCUCUCAUUUUAUUUCUUUUUCUUUUUAUCUUUUUUUUUUAAUUUUUUUUGUGGCCUCUUUGGCUCUUUCUUUUUAUCUCUCAUUUUUCCUCUUUGGGAUCUUUUGUUUCGUCCACUUUGGGAUCUUUUCCUUACUUUAGGGCAACACUCUAAGUUUUACAUGAAUCAAAAGAAGAUAAUCACAGUUUAUAGGAAGUACUCAACAUAAAGGCAAGUGAAAACUAUCAUGAUGUAUGCAAAUGUAUGCCUUUGCUAGUGUAGUGGGAUAUGCAAUGAUACUAGCGCGUCAUGUAGCAAUAAUUGGGGUAAGGCCCAACUAUCAUGCGACUCUACUAUCAAGCAAAAGCAUGUAUGACAUGAAUAUCUAGUCAUGAGAUGGUGGAUGUUGCAUGGCAAUGUAUCUCGGAAAGGCUAUGGAAAUGCCUUAAUAGGUAGGUAUGGUGGCUGUUUUGAGGAAAGAUAUAAUGAGGCUUAUGUAUGACAGAGCAUAUCAUGUCAUGGGUUUGGAUGCACCGGCGCAGUUUGCACCAACUCCCAAUGUGAGAAAGGGCAAAUGCACGGUACCGAAGAGGCUAGGAAAAUAUGGAUGGUGGAAGUGCCAACAAUUGAAUACUCACAUUAGUCCGAAGAACUCAUACACUUAUUAUCGGUAAAUCUCUAUCUAGUUAGGAAAUUAACAAAGAGACAAGUACCCCGAGGAGGAGCGUUUGGGGGUUUGGUUAUCCUUGCGCAUCCUCGACUCAUGGUAACAUGAGGGUACUCUAUAUAUUCCAACCCCUCCAGAGGUUAGCGAUCAAUUUAGUAGCUAGAGUUCUCAAUUAAUUUUAGUUUUUGAAAAACACACAGAUUUCCAAAAAUACGACACCCAUCACUAAUAGGCUCAAGCUCUUGGCACUAAUAGUCUAAACAUUACUCAAAUCAAUACCGCAAAACUAUUGCAAGUUACUACUAUACUUAAAUAGCAACUUCAAUUACCUACUCAUGCAAGACACACAAUUCAGUGCAACGAGCCAACUCUCUAAACAAGAUAAGCACGAUAACUCAAGAGAGUUCCAGAAGCAACCUAAAUAAUAGCUCUUAAAAAGAUAAGCAUGAAAACUAAGAGCUAAGCAUCACAGUAGCUAAGGAAAGAUAAAUAACACACAAAAGGAUAAGCAUGAAACAUAUGUUGUGUUCUAGAGUGGAAUGGAGUGUGUCUCUCUCCCAAACAAGGUGGGCUAGGUUCCGACUUGUUAUGAACAGCAAGCAAAACUAAAACAAACUAAAAAGCAAAUAGCGGGACGCUCCAAGCAUAGCACAUAUCAUAUGAAGUGAUAAAAAUAUAACAUGGAGAUGGACGAACUGAUGAUUGUUUAUAGAGAAGGGGAUGCACGGGGGCAUCCCCAAGCUUAGAUGCUUGAGUCUCCUUGAAUAUUUCUUGGGGUGCAUGGGCGCAUCCCCAAGCUUGACCGCUUGACACUCAUGUAUGUUCUUUCAUCAUCUCUCCCAUCACAUACUUGAAAACUCCCUUCAUACGAAACUCGUCAUAAGCUGAUUAUAGUGGUUAGUUCCCUUAAUAACAUAAUUCAUUACCUGUUGGAAAUAAAUAUUUUCAUGAAAAUCUACUGCUUCUAAUGAAUGCCAAAAGGUUUUUGCAAAUAAAAAGUAAGCUUAGCAUUUGCAAAACAAUGAAAAUGCAAAACAUGGCAGAAUCUGUGAAAAACAGAACAUCACGUAGUAAAUAAUUUAUUUCGGGCACUUAUGCAACUCAAAUAAAAAAAA
Molecule: long non-coding RNA, 59417 nt
Filed under: Hordeum vulgare
Lineage: Eukaryota; Viridiplantae; Streptophyta; Magnoliopsida; Poales; Poaceae
Description: long non-coding RNA (HVUL_LNC015921)
Source: RNAcentral